ACUAGGCUUCUUCCAAUUAGAUCCCUCAAGUAUCCCUCUGCAACAUCUUCCUUGCUGUCCAGCCCAUUAUUGGGUAUAAAUCCUUCAGCUAUCCACAACCAUGUCAACUUCCUAACUGGAAUGUUUUUAUCCUCCAAAAAUACUCCAGUAUAUAGAAAGCAAGGCUUCAAAUGGUUAGGCAAAUAUCUGUAGCUUAGCUCUAGUAUGUCCAUGCACCCCGUCACAGGAUCAUCCACAAUGUGUGAGCAAAUGCUUUCUGAAACUUGUUUCCACCAGUCUGGUAUCAUGUCUGUCCUUUCAAGGAGACCAGAUAUUGCAACAACUGCAAGAGGAAGUCCUCUACAGCUUUCUGCAAUUUUCUUUCCGACUAUCACUAAUUCAUUGGGGCACUUUUUCGUGUAAAACAACUUCUUUUGCAACAGCGUCCAGCUUUCAUCAUCAGACAGUAGCCGAAGGGGGUGAGGAGUACUAUCCGCUUUCAAUUUUACCGCCACAUCAAAGUGCCGACUCGUGAUCAGUAUUCUGCUUCCAUUGUUGUCAUUUGGAAAUGAUCGUUGGAAAUCGUACCAUGCCUCAGUGCUCCAAAUAUCGUCCAUAACAAUGAGGUACCUUUUCCCCUUUAGGCAUUGGUACAACUUCAUCUCUAAAUCUUCAUCACUCAUUUCAAGGAUAUCAUCCUUAAGUUCCACAAUUUCACCUAAAAUCUGAAGAAGCAAUUCUCUUCUUCGAUAUGUGUGGGAGACAUAACACCAUGCACGAGCGUGGAACUGAUAGGUAACUGAAGGAUCAUUAUACGCCUUCAAGGCUAAAGUUGUCUUGCCGAGUCCAGGCAUGCCAACAAUUGAAACAACAUCUAGCUGUGGUAAUCCAGCUGUAAGCCUAUCAAUGAUCAAUUUUUUUUCAUCGGUGAGAUCAAUCACAACUUCAUCAAUCAUGGGAAUCUUCGCUGGUGAUACCAUAUUCAUUGAAGAGGUGGGAACAUCAUGGAUGCUGAUGGUAUGUUCAUUCGUACAGAUUUCUGUGGCCUGAACCUUAAAAAGGUUGAGAUCUUCCAGGAGAUCAGAAAGCCAUAAUGGAUGAUACCAUCGCAAACAAUUGCCAACCACAAACGUUUCAAUGAGAUAUUCUGCCUCAAGUGAUACUUGGAUAAUGGACGAAACAAAACUUUUCAAAUCCGGACGGUCAUUAUACUGCUCUUUAAUAUCACUGAGGAAGGAUCUCAAGAACUCUAAGUCUCUGUGAACAGCAUGAACUUGAUGCCUCAAGGAAACAAGAAAUCCCGCUUCAGAGUUUAGCAGCUCGCUGAGAUCUCCUAAAAGACAAUCAAUGAAGCCAAAUCCUUCUGUCUUAGGGAAAUGGGAUUUUGAUGACCUUCGAACAGGCAUAUAAAUCUCUUUGAUCUUUGCAUUAACAAGGUCCAUCUUUCUUACUAACUUAGGAAGCACAUGACUGAAAUUCCCCACCGCAUGUUCUGCAAUAUCAUUUUUGAGAAGAGAGUAAUAAAAAAGAGAAGCAACCCUUGCUACUGACUCUGCAUCUGUUAAGAUUAGUUUCUCAUCAUCCUCCAGCGGACCCAUCAAAUAAGUUCUAAGGACUAUCAGCCCCAGAUCGAGGCUUUCCAUUUGGUUCUUCACAUUGACUGUGAGAUUUGGAUGUCCAUCAAGAAGCUCUUCCAAACGUAGUCGGCCAUUGAUUAUGAGAUCUGGGUUUCCAUCGAGAAGCUCUUCCAAAAGUAUCUCAGUCUUCAAAAGUUGAAUCUUGCAGUGCAACAUAGUUAGCUCAUGUUUGAACUUGUCUUCAGUGACUGACUUGGCAUGGAACGAUUGAUAAACAGAGCCAGCCUUCCCAGCCACAGGUUUGAUAUGCAACCAGAUCAGCUUAGGAGCUUUGCUUUUCCAUUUGGAUGCAUAUCUUUGAUAACUUUCCAAAUAGAAGAGUCCCUCAUGGAAAGAAUCAAUACGAUUCUCAAGGAGCUCCAAACUGAUCCUUUUCUUUAGUAGCUCAUCCAGGAAUACUUCCACUCUGAGAAGCUCAAUCUUUUCAAGCAACCUAAAAAAUGCAGAUACAUUUGUGCUAAAUAUGUAUCCUGUUGACUCUCCUAUCUCAUUAAACAAGUCACCAAAAUAUCCAAGCCUGGAAAUCGCUGCUGUGAUGUCCAUUAUAAGCAGCUUUAGAUCAAAUUUCUCUGGUUCUCCAACUUCAAGGACGAACAUUAUCAGGUGUUCAAGCCCUUUGAAGAAGGUUUCAAGUUGAGGAUCCUUCUCAGGAAAGAGAAAAUCGACAAAUGUUUCAACUGGAGUAGGGAUUGAUGUCCAGGUUUUCACCAAGGAAUAAGGCCUGAGUAAUUUCAGAAACAGCUGUACAACUUCUGUAGUAUCCAGCUUGAAUGCCUUCAGCAGAUCAUGAAGCAUAAUCGACAGCUCCUCGAUCUUGUCUUCUUCCAUUUGGUCAAUCCAGCACAAGCAACAAAAAUGUGCAGUGCGGACCAGUAAAGCUCCAAAAUGAGUCAAGAAAUCUCUGUCUAGAUCAAGAGAAAAUCUUACCAUAGUGCUGAUGAAGCUUUGGAGACGUUUAAGCAUCUUGGACAUGGUUUCGACUUUUAGGUGCAUAUAUUCUAGCAUCUUGCCUUUCCCACAAUAAAGCACCAGGACAACCUGCUGUAGAUUUUGGCAGAAGAGACUGCAGACACCAGAACGGCUUAGGGGAUGGUGCGAUUGAAAUGAAUGGUUGGAUGCAAUGCGUUCAUAAGCUGCCUUCAUCUGAGGCCUGAAAAGCAUAAGCUUUUGUUGCAACUCAGACAUUGCAACUCCAUAAUCACCCCUUGUAAGACCUUUGUGAACCAUGGACUCGUAUUUCUCAGGAUCAGCUCCAAAAUCGCUGCUUAUUUUACCGACACCUUCUUUCUUGGAAGCAACUCGAAAAUCAUUAGUUGCCUCUUUCAAAGCAGCAUCAAGGUCCCGGUCCAUCGACCCCAACUCCCGACCAACACCAAACUUCAUGUCAGCGUCACUCAAAUAUGCGACGUAGAUCAGAAGCAUUCUCCAGAGUCUCACUUCCGCUAUGAGGAUCCCAAUUUGAUGAUUAUCAUCCGGCUGACCUGACAAUAACAGCCUUUUCCGGAUAUCCAGCUCGGCCAAGAGAGAAUCAACAACACCAGUGCAAGUUGGAUUCUCGCUCUUAAUAAGUUUUCCAAAAGAUUCCAUGGGAAGUUGCUGAAACGAGCUCUAAGAGCCAGCUGCCAAAAACUAGUACUGGCAAGAAAGAGGGAGGAGAAUUGAGAAGAAAUGGGAUGGUUGAAUGAGUUAUAGAUUGAGAUAGAGGGCACAACAGAGAAAGACGUGACAUUAUUUGUGAUCGUAGAAUUAUCUAGAAAAGAUAAGGUUGUUGUUUCAAAAUAUCUAAGAUAAACAUUGUAAAAAGCCAGUAAUAACUCGCCUAGAUUACUAGCGGAUGCUAGGGUGAAUAGUUGAAGUUAUAAAUGAAUCUAUAAUCCGUCAGUAGGAAAGCAAGCAAAAAUCAAGAGUGCAGUAGCAUACUACACUCCCAAGUAGGGGUGGCAAUUUUUGACACGACCUGAAAACACGACACGAAUCUAACACGAAAUUAAUGGGUUUGGGUUGAGGUUUCGGGAAUUCGGGUUAGAAUCGGGUUGGACCCGAUGAAUUCGAAAAGAAAACAGGUCGAUUUCGGGUUAACCCGUGAUGACCUGAUAUGAUCCGAUAUGACCCGUUUACGAAUUAAAAAAUAAUUUAAUAAACAUAAAAAUAAUUCUAUCUAACUAAACUAAGUUAUUCUUUUUUUCAAAGGCAUUAAUUACUUAAUCCUAAAUGAAUUUAUUUAAUUUGUGUGAAGUUGAAAUUAUUAUAUUUGGACAAAUAAUAUAUUAUAUUAUUUUUUACUUUUAUACUGUUUUAAUUUAUUUUAUAUUUUGUUUGGGAUAAAACACUUUUAUGGUGUUUAAUUUAUUUUAGAUUUGGUUUGGAAUUAUUUAUUUAAAUUUUUAUUACUUGAUUAUGUAAUUAGUUUUGUGAGAAAUUGAUUUUUUUAGUUUCGGGUCAUUUUGGGUUGACCCGUCAACCUGAAAUUUUCGGAUUCGGGUCAGCAUACCUGACCUAUCACGGGUUGGUGGGUCGGAUUCGGGUCAACAGAUUUUCUGACGGGUUGACCCGAACCCAACCCGCCAACCUGAUUUGGACCCGGAUUGCCACCCCUACUCCCAAGUCCUCCAGUACGUGUCUUCCCCGUUGUAAUCAGAAGUCUAUCUUCAACAAAAUUAACUUGUUUACCAAAUCCUUUAGCACAUUUAAUCCAACUAGCAAAUACUGCACGUGACUAUAAUAAUUCAAAUAUAUUUUGAUAGCUACUAAAAUUUUUUGUGAAGUUUUGAGUACCUACCUUAUAAUAUAAUCAUGUGAAUAUAAUAAUCCAAAUAUAAUACUUUUGUAGCUAUUUAAAUUUGUUGUAAAGUUUUGACUAUCUACCUCAUAGUAUAAUUAUGCAUGCUUUUCAAUUUCUUUAACCAGUUUUGGUUGUAAAUAUUAUUCAAAUUUGAACUCUUUGACCUAAAGCUAUUAGAACCUUUUUUGAGCUUUUAUUGAUUAAAUUUGGGUUGAACUUUAUAACAAUUGUUAAUAUUAUCAUGUUUUACCAAAGGUGUUGUGAUUCCCCUUAAAUUAUAAAAUUGUACCUUUUGUACAGUUCAAAAUAAUGUUGUUGAGAAGGAAAUAUAUAUACAUAUAUAUAUACAUGCAUAUACCAAGUAUGCAUAUGAGAAGCAAAUCUAAUUUGCAAGUGCUACUAAAAUUUUAAAAUGGGCAUUAGAAUACAACAUAAAUUGAUUUGUUUGAUCUUGAUCAUUCUAAUUAUUGAAUUAUGCAUCUACUUUCCUCCCCCAUGUGUUCGCAAGCUCAUUUAUCAGUUGGUGUUCAAUAUGUCUUUUUCCAAUUGAAAAUAAAAUCUAUGAUGGACUUUCUAGUAAAAUUAUCAGAAUUUAAUAAUUAAAAAACUAAGAUUUUGUUAAAUUAUUAAACACUUCCUAAAUAUUAUUUGCAACAUCAAUGUUUAUGAAUACUGAUUAUUUAAUUGUAGAAUUAGAAUCGGUUGAUUAUUCAAGAAUAAAGUGCUUGAAUGGCAUUUCUUUUUUAUUUAGAUUCAAGUUUUCUACAAUUUUCGUCUCACAUAAAACCUAAUUCUUUGUAGGGAAGACAAUUAUUAUUUAUCAUAUUAUAUGAAUUCAAUGAAUUAGCUUUUUUACGAAGUUCUUUUGUAAGAAGUGAGUUGAGCUAUUUUUUUAAUCUUUUGACACCAUUUUGAAAAUUGUUUACAUACAUAGUGUUUGUAUGUGAACUCUUUGUAAUUAUUUAAUUCACAAGGGAAUUUUUAAUCCAUCAUAUUUAAUUAUUUUUGUUUGAAUGUUCGUUGUCAUCAAUUAAGAUUUCAUUGACAGAUGUAGUUGGAUAUUCUCUUUUUCAUUUUUCUUCUACUAUUUUUAUAAUUUUGUUUGGAGACAAUGCAACAUAAAGCACAAACAACAAUUAUUCCUUUUUCCUACUAAUUUGAUAAAUGUCAUGUUUCAUAUGGAUGCAUUUAAAUUAAUCCAUGGAUUUUUCUCCCUUUUGUCUAAGACAAAAAGCUCUAAUUACAAUAUCAAAAUCAGUUUAGUUGAUCAUAGGUAAAAUAUAAGAAAAUCUUUUGUUGUUUGCUUGGAUUUGGGUGACAUGAACUGUCAUUUCGGUUAAAACUAAAUUGUUUGCAUGUUUGUUAGUUGCAUGAAUGUUUAACUGCUCUCUUUUAUGUCUUGUUAGUCAUUUUACCUUUCAAUUUUUAUAUGAAUUUGAAUGAGAUAAAGUGAAGUGUAACAUCAUUUAUUGAAUUUGGACUAUUUGCAUUUUAUCUAAGUGCUUUUGUUGUUAAUAAAGAACGUAAUGAUUCACAAUGCUCAACCAUUUUAGAUAGGUUAUUUAUUGUCAGUUAAAAUUCAUUUGUUUGAAAUAGUUGGGGUUUUCUAUUUUGCUUUUGGUUUUUUUUUUUAUUUUUUCAUAUUGGUAAAAGUACAUAAUUGUGAAAUUUGCUCUUACUAUUUUUAUGAAGAUAUGCAAAUAAAUAAGGGAUCUUUUCUCCUUGUGUGUUCUCUUUUUUUUUCUAGAGAAUAUCUAUAUUUUGAUAUUGAUAAUAAUGGCUGAUGAGAAAAUUUUCAUACUUCGAUUAAGAAAUUUUGAUACAUAUAAUAAUUGGAGACAAAGUCCAAGAAUAGGUAAAUAGUUUUUAAUGGACAAUUUUUAAUUGUAAUUACUAAUAUUAUUGAGAUGUAAUCAAUUGGAUUGCUUUAUUUCUUUUAAUUGGUGGCACAUUGAAAUGCUAUAAUUCUAAUUAAAAUACAUGAGCAUAAUUUAGAAAUAAUAAAAACUAAAAUAAAAAAGUGCUUACACUUUUUAAUGCCAAGAUUCAUACUUUUUAUAUAAUAAUGAUAUAAACUUAUAUUUACACCCUUGUACCCCAACAAAAGAAAAGCCAACUUAACCGCUAGAGCUAGACAAUGUAGACAAAACUUGCUGUGGGAGUUUCAAGUUGAAAAGAACAUAGGAGACUUGGGAAGAAAAUGGAAGAUAUUUCUGACUUAGGCAGAAGAAAAUGUGCUGGGAAAGGAGGUUUCGAAGAUUGUGAAGAUUGCAGAGUGAUUUCCCAUACUUCUAAGAAGCGAAAUAUGUAAUCGAAUGCGAGAGACGGAGGACUAGAAAAUAGAAAAUAAUGAUAUUAACAAAAAAAAAAUCAACAACAACAAUAACUUGUGGUUUAAACACACCCUAAGUGUGUGUAAAUAAAAGAACAUUACAGCAAAAAAUUAUGGAAGUCAUUCAAAGUUAAUGGAGGUCUUAUCAUAUUGAUAAAAAGAAAACUUUGUAAGGAAAAAAAAAAGAUGGAAGUUAUUAAAAAAAUAUUUUUAGGCGCUACAUGCAUAUAUGGUAUAGAUAGAUAGCAACAAUCAUAAUAAGGAAUAACGAAAACAGUAAAUUUUAGUAAAAUUAACAGAUUGUUUAUUGAAUUAAUAUGGUAAUAGUAAGUAGCAUGUCUGAAGAUUUAUUUUUUUUAACCAAAAAAAAUUGAUAGCCAGCCAAAUUUGCGCCUUUGAUGUAUGUAAAUUUAUACACCCGAAGUGAGAAACAGCCAGAUUCUUCAUGCUUUCCCAUAAACCAAUCCGCAUGCUGCACUUUUUACUGAUUAGAUCAUAUUAUAGAGGGAAGAAAAUGUAUUUUAUUAGAGAAGUCAGAAUUGCAAAGUUGGCCUACGAUUUAAUAUUUUUGGUUUGAAGAAAAGACAAGGAUACACACACACACACAUCCACAAAAGAGCCAGGAGAGGCCAAUGGUUGCAGCUGAUCAGAGAUCCAAAGCGACAUAAGAUAAGGGGGGUGGAGAGGGAAUUGGAUAAUAUCUACAGCCAGCCAUCAUUUAUGUUCAUCAAAAGAGCAUUUAAGACAGACUAUCAUCUGCUUGAUUGAACUCUCGGGGGCAGAAUUCCAGAUCUGUUCCAUUAGCUUUUGGCAAUCCUCUAUCAGGGGAUCCAUGUUCAGCUGCCUUGCUUGUUGAUGCUUGGCUAAGCUGCCCACAGCACAUUUAGCAUCAGAGUAAAUUAGUGAACAGGAGAUUUUAUUGGCAAUAGCAAUCGAUAAACCAAGUCUCAAAGCACAUAGCUCAGCACAAAGAGGGACUUCGAAAUAAACCUUCGGCGCCAGCCACCUUGUUAAUAACAUUAGCACCAUCAACAUGCAGAAUGACGUUUGCCUACGAUUUAAUUAUGAUAAAAUUCUUUAAUUUUGAUCGGGUUAAAUCCACACAUCUACAAUUGAAAUCCUCACCCCUAGAACCAAAACGACAGAAAAGCUUAUAGCAUUUAUGGUAUUUUGUAGAAACUUUCUCAAUGCCAAAAAUCAGUUUUUCUGCUGUGAAAAUUGAUGGUGCUAAUUUGGAUUUAUAUUUUACAUCAUUAUGAAUUUUUUCAAAUUCAUUCACUUUGAUGGCAUUUAUUUUUUCCUCUUGUUUGAUAGGGAGAAUAUUUUUACCUCUUCUUAUUAUGUAAGGGAAGAUGAGAUUUUUUUUUCUUUCUCUUAUCUAAAUUGUGUUGGGAAAAUUGUUUUACUUUUGUCGUAUAUUGCACUUAAAAGUUGAUUAAAGUAUAUACUUAAAAAGCACUGGCUGCUGAUAAUUAGGAUGACAGUAUCAAAGAGCUUCAAUUAAUUAAAUUUUGUUAUUAUCUUUCCAAAAAAGUACUCUUUUAUGAAAUGCAAGUUUUUGUAUAGAAAAAAAGGUUUCUAUCAUACCCUCACAAAUGCUAUGGGCUAUAUUAUAACCUUAAUGCUAAGUGUGUGGAUUUAAAUUGAGAGGGUGUGGAUUUAACUCUACCCUAAAUUGAACAACCUUAUGAAACUUUUUACAUAUGGUCUUUUCAUGUCUAAUUGCUUUUAAUUUCUUGUUUAUUUGUGAAAAAAUUUUAAAGGUUCCAUCACCUAAUACCCACAUGCACAUUUCUUAAGGUAUUAAUAUCCUUUUUUUAAAAAAAGAUUUUUUUAAAAAUUUUUUGGUCUAAGGAAGACUCCCAACCUUAUUACAAGACAAAGGGAGAAAGGAAAGGAUUUGAGAGUUGUAUUUAGGAACCCAUAAAUUUACCGAUUAAUGUUCCUACCAGUUUUUAGUGUAUUAACUUGUUAAACUAAACUAAAUGAAGAAAAAAUGUGUAGGAAUGCUUGGUUACAUUUGGAAAAGCCUAAUAUAGUAAUCAACUUCAAAACUAAUACCUAGAAAAGUCUCAUAUUUUAACCUUCUAAAAAUACUUUAUAAGGCUUCCAGGUUUCUUUUAUCAACUAUCAUUUGCAUAGCUUUAAACACUUUGUACUCAAGAUGCUCCUUUUUAUUAUAUACAAUAAAAGAAAACUUGAUCCAAAGUUAAUUAAUUUUUAUUCAUCGGGCAGUUUUAGGCCACUAAAUUAUUAAGAGUCCAUGUUUCGGUUGUUUAUGUAAUCAUGACUAAUUGAAAUUAAGAAUGUAUUGCUUGAGUUCUUUUUGCUUGCAAAACAACUUCUUCUUCCUUCUUGGGAAGUAUAAUAGUAUUUUUUUACUUGUUUGUUUGAAUAAAUUUCUCUUGUAAGUUUUGAUAAUAAAUAUUUUUUCUUUUAAGAUUUUCUAAUAAAAGUUUCUUCUCUCCUAAAUUUUAUAGUCAAAGUUUUCUCCUCUAGGAUUUUCCUUUGAGAGUUUUUCUUUAUUGUGUCCAUUGCUCAAAUCCAAACUAAAAAAUUACUCCUCACGUGAAUUUUGAUUUGGAAAAAUCAUUCUCUAUGGUUCAGAGUUUUUUUUUAAAAAAAAUUUCAUCUAACCAUUUUUGUUCUUGAGGAUUCUUUGUGCUUACUAGUCCACACAAUCCUUUUGUUAUAUUUACAACAAAUUUGUUUGACGGUUUAGUAUGCCUCUGUUGUGGAACGAGUUGCCCCUGAGUUCAGGGAUCCCUCAUCCCUAUUGAAAUAAGUUAUUUAGAAUUCAAAUUUAGGUUAUUUUCAUGGUUCUAUUGUUGUUUCCUAUUUUUCAUUGUAUUUUCUUACGAAUUAGUAUUAGUUUGUUUCCCAUUCUAAUUAGGUAUUUAGGAGCUUUCUUAGUUCAAAAGCUACCUUAUCUAGGUUUCCUAUCCCUAUUAUGACUUUACUAGAAGUAGCUCUAUAAAUAGGCAUAUCUAGGAUCUUUGUAAUUAUUCUUCCUUCAUCAACUAUUAAUUAAUGAAUUCCUAAUUGGUCUUUCCAAUUUUUGAUAGUUUUUUCUCAUUAUUGUUGAAUCUUUGUUUCGUGUUUUGGGAUUAGAACAUGAUUCAUUCCCUUUGUUCUUUCUAUUUAUGGAUUUCAUUUGUGAAACAAUUCCUUAAACAUGGUUCCGCAUCAUGUGGUAUCAGAGCAAGAUUCGCUUGUGAUGAAUCCUGAUUCAUUCCAUAGUAGUUUGGAUCGUUUCGAGACUACCUUAAAUCAUGGUGAAGCACGAAUAGACCGAAUGGAACGUCUUCUUCAUGAGCCAUACGUAGAGUUUGAAGCAAACAAUUACUCCAAGAGACCUGUACAUCACUGUCGUCCGGUUGGGAGAAUUGCUCUUGAUGAGCCUAGUAUUCGUGCAAUCUGAUUGAGUUCUCAUAGUUAUCAAAUCUAUGAAGAUCGCGUUUGCGGGAUCACUCAUUGUCAGCAUUUGAUCUGUGAAACUAUAACACCAAUAAUUGUAGGAAAAUCUAAACCAAUCAUCCAGCAGUCCAUGUAUAUGGCUCCCAAUCUUUCACCAAAGGAAGAAGAGACCCAGAGAAAUCAAUUAUUCUGAACCAGAUGUAGGAAUUCUAUUAAUGACUUCUAUUUGAUAAUUGAUGUUGGUAGUUUUUCAAAUAUGGUUUCUAAGGAAUUGGUUGAUAAAUUAAAAUUGUCUAUUAAAGAGCAUCCAAAACCUUAUAGGUUGGUUGGAUAAAAGGGGUUGAAUUUGUUGAGGUAAAUUUAAGAUGUCGUGUUUCAUUUUCAAUUAAUAAAUAUAUUGAUGAAAUUCUAUGUGAUGUUGUGGAUAUAGACACUUGUCACAUAUUGCUGGGACCAUGGCAGUAUGAUGUAGAUGCAACACACAGUGAAUGUGACAAUAUAUAUAGUGAAUGCAACACAUAGUGAAUGUGACCAUGGCGUUAUUUUUAUGCCGUUGAUGCUGAGUUUGCAGCCUAAGUCCCCUACUUCAGUUCAAAAUAAAUUGCUCAAUAAUGUGCAUGAAAAUUGUGAAGUAACUACAGGUAUAAAGGGAGUUGAUAGGGCCACGUCUUGGCAAAGGUUCCUGAUUGAAGAACCCCAAGUAAAGACAAUUGAGAUUUUGGAAGUCGUAAAUAAUUUUAGCUCUUCGACAAUAGAUGCAAGUGUUCAUGAUUCUUCAACCAUGAAGGCCAAUGACUUAAAAGAGCUAUUACCGAAAUUUGCUGAGCCAGUUGCUGUCCUGGAUCUUGAGAAUUUUACUUUUGGUAAGGACAUUAUUUUGACAAAUUUUCUCCAAUUGAAGAAUAUUUUCCUGUGAAGACCAAGAUAUUUGAGUUCCUUAUCAAUCGGAAAAAAAUCAUAAAAUUUGUAUGAACAAUGAAAGCUACUGAAAUUAUAGGAGUCGAUCUUUCCAUACGGUUCCUAGGAUCGCAUGGAGUUUCUUAUAAGCAUGAAUGGGUGCUUAGAUUCCAUCACAAUUAUCAUCCUUACAAGAUUUAUAGGAGAGUGAUUGCUGUAUUUUCUCAUAGAUUGUGUGUCAAGCUCCUUCGUGGAACUCGAGGGUGAGUUCUUUUCAAGCGAGGUAGUUUGAUGUAGAAUGAGUUGCCCUGUGCUCAGGGAUUGCUUGUUCCCAUCAAAAUAAAUUAUUUAAAAUUUAAAUUUAUGUUAUUUUCAUGGUUUUAUUGUUUCCGAUUUUUUGAUGUAUUUUCUUAGAGUUUAGUAUUAGUUUGUUUCAUGUUCUAAUUAGGUAUUUUGGAGCUUUCAUAGUUCAGAAGUUACCUUAUUUUAUAAGUUUCCUAUUCCUAUUAUGUCUUUACUAGAAGUAGCUCUAUAAAUAGGCAUAUCUAGAAUCUUUGUAAUUAUUCUUCCUACAUCAACUAUUACCGAAAUUUCUAAUUGGUCAUUCCAAUUGUUGAGAGUUUUCUCUCGUUAUUCUCGAAUAUUUGAUUCAUGUUUUGGGGUUAGAAUGUGAUUCUUUUCCUUUGUUCUUUCUAUAGAUUUCGUUCGUGAAACAAAUCCUUAUUAUACACUUCUGCUACCGCAUUGCUGGUGAGAGUCUAGAGACCAUUCUUUAGUGUUCUUUUUAUCUUUUUUGUUUUUACUUGAGUAAAUAUUGGAUUUAUGACAAGCAGUUUUUAGAGUUUCAUAAAAAAAAUUUAUAACCAAAUAUAAAUAUGAAACGAGAUGCGUGUUACUGAAUGUAGAAACCAGCCACAUUAUAUGUAUAAAGUAGGCAACUUGAUAGUGAAAGUAGAUGGAAUAACCCAAAAGAUACACGUUUCAUAGUUGAGUGGGUAAAUUGUAGAACUAAAAACAGAACUUAUGGAGAUAUAUUUCAUAAAACCAAUAUAGGUGGGGAUCGGAGGCAAUUUACACACAUAAGAAUAUGCGUGGGAGAAGAAAAAUAAUACUAAUAAUAAUUUAUUAAUCACAUCAUAAGAAUAAGAUUCUCAAUCCUUCACUCUUCUCAACUAAACACAAUAAUAUGACAUCCUAUUUAUAAACUAGAUGACUUGAUAAACAAGUCUUACACCACAAGAAAUUUCCUAAUAAGAUACUAAUUCCUAAAUAAUAAAACUAACAUAACUUGACUCCAAUAGAAUUACUAGAACCCUAACUUAACUAAAACACUACUAAAUAAUAAUAUGAAAAUUUUUAAUUUUGAGUCUUGAUGUAAUAUACCAACAUUGCCUCCCUUAAAUCAAACUCUCUCUUGGAUCUGGUUCACCACCAUCACGAUCAAUAAUCUGCCUUGAUUUUUGCUACUGCAAUAUUCCACGCACUUGGACAAAUUUAUCUAGUUGCUCAACUUAUUUUUCACUUGCGAAAAUAAUCCAUACUUCUAGAUAGACUGUUUUAGUCGGCCAAUUUGAUGUCAACUUAUUGACAAUUUACUUUAUGAUUUUCAUAAUCACAAUUCAACUAAUAGGAUUUGUAGACACCAAAAUUUUACCAUUUUUCCUUCAUUUUUAUUCCUAUUUUUGUUCAUUUUAGUUAAAUUUUAUUUAUUUUGUUUCAUUUCUAUUUCUUGGUAAAAAUCACUUUUUUAGAAAAAUCGGAAAAAGAAAAGGAAAGAAAAAAAUCAAUGAAAAUGCAGUUUUUCUAUAUAAAAAAAAAUUCGUAUCACGCACACGUUUCCUUCCUCAUCUGAUACCAAAACCAGAAUAUUAAGUACAAGAGGUGGCAAAAUUUUUUGAGCAAUUUUUGGGUCAUUUUUGUUCUUAAUUUCAUUGCCCUACACAUUUAUACAAAGUACAAGGACAGCUAAUCUUCCUUAAAGUAUUUGGGGACACCUGGAAAUUGGAUCCAAGGGAUCCAAAUCUACCAUGAAGCUUAGUUUUCUCAUCCACCAUUAAUCUAAGGGUUUGGUUGUUGGUUUCUCAUAUAAAAGCUCCAAAAAACAUAGCACUAAGAGAGAGAGAACAGAAGAGAGGCGGCUGCCAAAGGAAAAGGAACGAAAAACAGCAAAAAAGGAGAGAAAACGGGAGAGGGAGUGGAAAAAUAAUUGCAGAAAAUUUCUGGAAAAAGUGAGCCGGGGUUGAGGGUUGGGAGGCCUUCUUGAUCCUUUUUCGAUCUAUGUAGAGACUUUUUGGAGAAAAGGCCUCCUUGAUCCUUUCUCGAUCUAUGUAGAGACUUUUUGGAGAAAAUAUUAGUUUGUGAAGGUUCUAUGACAUUCAAGGAAGAAGAUUGAUGUUGAAAAUUUUCAAAGAAAACAUCAGAAACAUCAUCGAAUUUGGGGUUGAACUUGCUGCCUUCGUCAUCCUUGAAGAGCUGCAACAGAAAAUUUUAGCUUUUUUUUUUGGGACGAUUGCAUUUGGUUUUUCUCGCAUCAAUUCAGCGCCUCAAUCAUUUAUAGGUAAUAAUAACUUCUCUUAUCAGUUGAUUUACACUUUUCAUGAGAUCUUGGGGCCAUUUGCAUGAGCUUUUGGAUUAGGUGUUUUUGGAGGUGUUUUUGAAAAAUUUUGCUGUAGAAGAGUUUUUAGAUUGGGAUAUUUUCAGAAAAUAUUUUGGGAUAUUUAAAAGUAGAAGAGUUUCUAGAAUAUAUUUUGGGAUAUUUUUAAAAUUUUAAAAAAAUUUAAACUAAUUUUUAGAUUAUCUUUUAGAGUACUUUUUAAAAAUUUUUAUUAUAUUUGAAAAACUAGUUUUUGAAAAACAGUCCCAUCCAAACAGAGAUGGACCCAACUUCAAUUUACCACAAGCUUGCUUCUUCCUUUCCUUUGCUGUGUUUUUCUGUUUGGUUUUCUUGUUGGUUCUUCCAAAGAUAGACAAUCAUGUUUGGGCGUUGUUAAUAAUGAUGGGUUGAAGUUUCUGUUGGGUUUUUGCUGAUGAAUCCACAAAGUUUGCUUGAGUUCAUGGCUGGUUUUCUUGUGUUGAAUAAGUUUUUUGGGUUGUUGCGGAAGAAAGCUACGAAGAAGAUGCAUUUGAUUUUUGGAAAUUGCACUUUUGACCCUUACUUUUUAUGUAAUUUCAUUGUGGCCCAAAUCUGUGAAAUUGGACCGAUUUUGCCCAUUUUAAGUUAUAAUUUUCUUUUUCAUGUUUUAAGUGGGCUUUUAGGUAGAUUAUUUCUAGUUUUUAUCAUGUAUUUAGGGUUUAAUAAUUUUUGGAAAGAUUUAUUAUCUUGUUGGGUUUAAUAAAUAGUUUAGGUUUUGAGUUAAUAUUAUUUGGUUGGGUUUGGCAGAUGGGUCUUGGUUAUUUUUCUGGGUUUUUGGCAUGGGCUUGAGACGGUGAAGCCCACUACUGAUUGGGCUUGGUUGGUGAAAAUGAUGGGCUGGCCUACUUGUUUUUAUUGGAUUAUUAGUUGGGCUUAGGAAUUCUUGGCUUAAAAAAAUUAAAAGAAAUGGCCCAAUGCCCUUUUUGUCAAGCAACCUGCUAACGAAAUUGCAUUCUGGUCCCUAUACUUUUGAGUAAUUUUCUGUUGCCCUAUCUUUUGAUUUCUUUCAAUUAGGUCCCUAAUCUAAUUUGAAUUUGGUCUCUAAACUUUAUUUUUAUUUAAUUUUGACCCUAUUUUUGUCAUAAUUGUAAUUUGGCCCCAAACACUUUCUUAAUUUUUGCAAUUAGGUCCCUAACAGUUUUGAUUUUUUAAAUAUAAGUUGCUUUUCUUCUUUAAUUGUUAAUUAUACUUCAUUUAAGUGUUUUAAUUGGCAGAUUUCAUGAUUAUAGUCAUUUCAUUAUAAUUAAAUUGGUGUCUUGAUCAUUUUGUUGAUUUUGGAGCAUAAAUAGGGCAAAUUUCACCCUAUUUAACUACAACUUCAAGGGAGGUAACCUCUUUUAUUAUUUUAAAUUCUUUUAUGUGCUCUAAUGUGUUUUAUGUGUAAUUGCAUGUUUUGAGUGUUUUUUCUUUUAAUUAUUCAUUUUAAAUUUCAUUUAUUUUAUUUAAUUUUGAUGAUUAUUUGAAAGGCAUUAAAAUGCCAAAUUGUAAUAGAUAAGUGUUCAAGACAUGUAUUUAGUUAGGCUAUAUAAUAGCUAGAUUUUAAUUUUGCCAAAAAUGUAAUUAGUUAAAUAAAUAUAAUAGUUAGGUUAUUAUUUUUUAAUUUCCCCCCUUAGAUUGUAGUUAGGGUCCUGAAUGUAAUAGUUAGGCUUUUAUGUGUGUUUCUUUCCUUGUGUGCUUGCAUGCUUAUGUGCUUAUGUGUUUAUUCGUUUUCUUUAGGGUCUUUGCAUCUAGAUAUCAUGCCUACGUGUUAUGUGCUCUAUGUGUUUUAUAUGUUUACUUGCUUUAAUUAUGUUUUAUAUGAUUUAUUUAGUUAUAAUAAAUGCAUGACAUCACCACACUAGUCCAACGCUAAUUGUGGUCUUUCUCCCCGAUUUCUCACUAGUCCAACGCUAGUGAAGAUUUGUAGAAAUGAGUUAGUCCAAUGAUAGAUCCUUUAGGCCGUUUUCGCGCUAGAAUUCAUACUUUGCUUGACAUUUAUUGCAUUUCAUGCAUACUUUUCACUUUUAGGAUCCUUUUCCUCAUUUGGCAUGAUAUUUCCUUUAUAUUAUCUACCUUAUCCCUAUGUGCGCAAAACAUGACAUUUAGACUUGCAUUCCAUUUAGGAAAUUAGAAGUAGGCUAGUCCAUUCGCUUGAUUAAGUUAGAGAGUUACCCUUCAAAUAUGGAAAAUGGACGAGUAUGGCUUCUUAGCCUUAGCACGCUUAUAUCUCCUCUAUAAAAAGGAAAACUGAGUCCCGAAUCUUAGUCCCCCAUACCCGUUAUGUUGCAUUCCUCUCUUUUAGGUCAUGUAUGUUUAUAUAUUAUAAUUUUUCUUUCCUUUGAAUGUUAUUUUUACAUAUUCGUGACCUCUUCUAAGAAUCAUUUUUUGGCAUCACAAUUAAUGUGAUUUGCACCAAUUAAACUUUAAAGAGAUAUUUUGACUCUCUCGAUAUCCAUUAGGUCAAGAUUUGCAUCCAUGUAGAAACAUCCAAAUAUGAUAAGUUUGAUAGGUUAAAUUAAAAAAAAAUUUGACUAAAUCAUGUAACUAAUGUUGGUUAGGUUGAAAGGGCGCCUUAGAUCAAAUCUUUGCCUUACCUUUCUUCAAUCGUGAUUCCCGAACUCUUUUCUAUUGUUUUUCGAAGACCUGGAGUCGUCUAAAAACGGUUUUGUUUAUUUUUUAUUAAAAAACAUAUUUUUGGGUGAUUUGGUAUACCUUAACUCAAUAUCAAGUGGCGACUCCUAUUUUUCCUAAAAAUCCUUUUUAAACUAUUAUUUUGGAUCAAAACCGUCGCACUUCUUAAGUCCCAUUUUAGACCCUUUUUCUUUUAUUUUUCAAAGACUCAUUUUUCCAUUCGCUCAAAAUUAAUCAAAAAUUCAUUUUUUAUAACUCAUAAUUUUUAUUUCAAAAAUGGGGCGCGACAAGAUUCUUCUUCAAUCUUUGCUUUCAUAACCACAAUCAAUUUGACAAUUUUUCCGAACCAAUCUUAUGGUCGAAUCCUCGCAAAUUAGACAUUCCAUGACCAACCUUGCGAUCUAACUCGAUCAAUUAAUUUUCUCGCAGCAAUUUUUAUGCUCUAACUUUGACAGAGGAAGAAACCCACAAUUAACCGUCGUAAUCGGGUCAAUUUUUCAAAGUGUACAGGAACCCAGCAUGUAAAACUUCAGGCUCUGAUACUAGAUGUAGAACUAAAAAAAUUCAAAAAGAAAACUACGGGAGAUGUAUUUGAUAAAAUUAAUAUAUAUGGGGAGGCAAUUUACACAUAUAAGAAUAUGUAUGGGAGAAGAGGAAUAAUACCAAUAAUAAUUUAUUAAUCACAUCAUAAGAACAAAACUUUCAAUCCUUCACUCUUCUCACCUAAAUACAAUAAUAUGACUCCGUAUUUAUAGACUAGCUGACUUGAUAAACAAAUCUUACACCAUAAGAAAUUUCCUAAUAAGAUGCUAAUUUCUAAACAAUAAAACUAACAUAACUUGACUCCAACAAAAUUACUAAAACCCUAACUUAACUAAAACACUACUAAAUAAUAAUAUGGAAAUUUUUAAUUUUGAGGCUUGAUUUAAUAUGCCAACAUUAAUUCAUACUCUUAAAAGCUGAAUGGUCAAAAUUAUGCCAUUUCAAAUGCUUGCUGGAUAACCGGAUAAUUUGCUUUAACUAGUACCACGCAAUAAGUACAGGAAAGGGCCAAAUCUGCAGAAGUGUCAGGUGUAUAUAGCUGGUUUGAAUGUACAGGAUGCCACUGGUCUAUGUGAUAUGAUGAAGAUGUCAAGGGGUGUGCUACCUGUAAAAUGCCUGGAUCUACCACUAAUCAGUUCUAAGCUAUCAUACAAAGACUGUCAGCCUAUUUUUAAUAAACUGGAGCAAAAAAUCAAGGGGUGGGCAAACAAAAAAUUGAGUUUUGGAGGUCGGUUGCAAUUGAUUCAAGCACUGUUAUCUAUACUGGUGCAGUGUGUUUAUUUUGCCUAAAGCAGCGAUAAAAAAAAAAGUGAAUAAUUUACUAGCUUCAUUCCUUUGGGCAGGAGAGAUUAAGCAAAUGUAUGGUGCUAAAGUUAGAUGGAAGGAGGUAUGUGCGCCAAAACAGGAAGGUGGCUUUGGAUUAUAUAGUACUGAGAUAUGGAACAAAUGUCUGAUUGUGAAGUUAAUAUGGAAUAUUAGUAGUAAGAAGGACACAUGAUCGGUAAUAUGGGUACAUAGCAUCCUCUUGAAGAAUCAGUCACUAUGGGCUAUUAAGAUACCAACAAAUGCAUCCUAGGUUUAGAGGAAAAUAUUAUGGAUUAGCCAGUUGGCUCAACCCUUCAUCAGACACAUCGUGGGGGAUGGAACCAAAACCAAUUUCUGGUUUGAUACAUGGCAUCCCCUUGGGUGUCAUUGUAUGAAAGCUUCACAGGCAACCUGCUUUGUAGCUUUGGAUGCAAACCAGUUGCCUCUGUAUCAUAAAUUAUAGUGAAUGGAAAGUGGAGAUGGCCUAAACGAAGGAAAGAAACAACAGAGGUAAGAAGUGAUUUUUCAGUUGUAGCUUUGGAUGCAGCUAGUGUUUAUCAUGUUUGUAGACUCAGGAAUGAAGUGAUUUUUCAGUUGAAACCUAUGACAUAUGACAAACAUCUAAAGUCUAUUAUUGAAGCAGUUUGUUUUGUAGUUAGUAAUUGGUCAGGCUUUCCUAAAACACGUCAAAAUUGGGGGAUUGUACUGGAGCAGGGAGUGGACUGGAAAUGUUUGCCAAUAUAGAAAGAGUGGUGUAGUAGUUAGUUGGUGGAUGAGAGGAGACUGCCAUGUGUACAAACUUUCGUUGCUGAUCAAUAAAAAGUUUUUAUUAUUUGCUCAGAAAAAAUGGUAUAUGAAAGAGGAAGUAGUAUGUAAGCUGAAGAAAACUGGCAAAAUUAAGCAAAGCAACACUAACUGGUUACCCAUUCAACACCAGAUUCCAAUUCUAGCUACUUGGUCCUUGGGAUGUAAGACCGGGAAGCAACUAACAGCUUUAACAAUACAAUUACCAAUUUGCACCCAAAAAAAAAAAGAUCUUACACCAAAUAAAUACAUGAGAAGGCACAUUCUCCCACUCCCCCCACCAACAAAAAAAACCCAGAAAAAGGUCAAAAGUUUCAUAUAUCUCGUUACUAUAUUACUAUAAACAAAAACAAAAGUACGAGUAAUAUUCAUUGUUUUGAAAACUAGACCGGACCAGCCGAUUUGAUCGAUCAGACUGCGAACUGGUCAUAGCUCUCAUUUGAUUCAUAUUUUGGGUUGAUUGGAGUUAAAAACUGGUGAACCGUGCGAACUGGAUUGAACUGGCAGUUUUUUUUUGUAUUUGUCUAUUAAAUUGAAAAAAAAAAGGAAUAAGUUUUCAUUAACCCUAAAGACUAAUUAUUAAAUGCUACAUCCACUUUCUUCUCAUUUUUGCCUCUUAUCAAGUUUGCAUUUCUAUUUUCUAUUUUCCUGACUUCCUCCAAACUCCAAACUUCUUUUUUUUUUAGGUUGCAAUCUUUAAAUCCAAAAACUUGAAUUAAAAUUUAAAUUCACAAAGGGUUUGUUUGGAUAAGAGGUUAUUUGAAAUAUUUAUUGUAACACUUUUUGUAGUGUGAUGUAUGUGAGAUAAAAAGGUGGUUGGAAAUUGUGUGUAUGAUACAUGCAAAACAAAAUUUGAAUUUUUUUUUUGAAAAUCUUGUAAUCCAAACACACCCAAUGUCUAAUUCCCAUAGACGUGAAUUUUGAACAAUUUUCAGAAUAUGUGAUAUUUUUGGGUUGGAUUUAAGAUUAUUUUUUUGGUAGAUACAAUUGAAAUUGAGAUAAAAUUUAUUUGUUUCAACUUAUAAUUUAAAAAAAUUAUUUGUGGAAAUCCAAGUUCUUUGAAAAUAUUAAAAUUUUCAUCAUAUAAAGUUUUUAAUUAGUCCAAUGCAUGUCUUAUUUUGUGCAUAUAUAUAUUUAUAUAAAUUAUUUUUUAAAAAAUUCAUUAAACCAGAAUUGAACCGAUCCGACUGAUUGAAUCUUGACCCGAAACCUUAUUGAUUCAAUUAACGGUCCAAGUUUCAAAACAUUGGUAAUAUUCUAUUCCCAACUUUUGAGCCGUGGUGAAUUCCAAUGAGACGUGGUCAAUUGAACCUGAAUAUAAAGUUUCAGAUGCUUUUGCACUCAAUACACAAAAUACUUUUAAUUGCAUGUGCAGAAUUAUAAAAUGGGUUAAUUGCACUGUGCCCCCUAGAAGUGGAGUUGACUAGCACUUUGCAACCUUGAAUGAAAGGAAUCUACACUUUGGACUGAGAAGAAUACUCUACCUCUGUUGUUUGUUAACCGUGAGUUCCAAUCAGAGAAAGCCACUUCAGCGCUUGGACAACCAUGCCCUUUCAUAUACAAAUUGUCCAAUAGAAUCAACGGAAUGAUUUUUGCCCAUAAUUUCAGAAGUCUAAGCCAUCUCUUAUGUGUGUUGGGAACAAGGGUGAACAAAUUUGGAACGUACAGAAUUCGUAUCCGAUUUCAAAUUCAAUUUGACAAUUUGAAAUCGGGUAUUUGGUAUUUGGUACAAAAGCAGUAUUAUCAAAUUCAUCGACUUCUAAUACAGUAUGAAAUAGGUUAUGAGAUUAUCGAUUUUAAAUUCAAAUUCGGCAAAAUGAAAUAGAUCGAGUAUUGUAUUACAGCAUUUGAAUACCAAAUUAGUUUAUACAAUUAUAUAAUAAAUAGGUAAUUGCUAUACAAUAUUGGUAUAUACUAUUAAUGUAUUAUUAUAUUAUACAGGUAAAUGUUAUUAAUAACAGUUAAUAUAUAGUAUUAUCAUGUACUUAUCAUAAUAAUAAUAAUAUAUAAUGAUGUACAAUAUACUAUUCUAGUAUUUGUUAUAUGACUAUAAAUAUACAAUAAUACAUAAUAUAAGUAUAAUACUUAUCCUUUUAUACAUGACUAGAAUUAGAUAAUGAUUAAUCAGUAUAGGUAUAGGACUAAAUAUUAAACAUAAUUAGUAAUUAGAAUUUAGAUAUUGGUAGUUUGGUACAUUAUUGCAUGUCAACAUAUUAGUGUAUUAGCUUUCACCAUUGAAAGCAAUUAAGUCAUUUGGGAAUUUUCCAAAAAAAGCUAUAUAGAAAAUAAGAAUAAAUGUAAGUUUAAUGCAUUACAUAAUUUGUAAUUUAUAAGUGAAUAAGUGAUAUUGUGUAUACAAGUACACAAUAACAUAAGUUGCAUUUUGAUUUAAACUAAAUUAAAAGUUUGUAACUUAGUCACUUAUCACUAAUUAUUGUAAAUUAUAAGUUUGUAACUAAUAUCACUUAUCGCUAAUCAUCCUAAUUUGUAAGUUUGUAAAUAAUAUUACUUAUCACUAAUCAUUAUAAAUUAUAAUUUUGUAAAUUAUCGCUAAUCAUUGUACAAUCUAAGUUGUAUUUUGGCUCAAAUUAAUCACAUUUUAUUUGUUCCUUAAAUCAUUGAUCAAGGAUUCAAGAUAUAACUAGGAAUAGGUGAUCAAAUGAAUACUAACAAAUUUUCCAAAUGGUUAGAACAAGACUAAUGUGUUAAAUUAUGAAUAAUUUUGGAUAUCUAAUUAGGAAUAAAAAUUUUACUAUUGAGGAGCAUAAUGAAUGUACAAUAAUUUAGAGCCUCAGAUCUCAAAUUAAAAAUUAAAAAAAUCACUCAUGUAGUCCAAAAGUGUCAGAUACUCGGUUUGAUAGUCCCACUCCCAAAUCACAAUUCCUAAAUCAAUCUGAAAAAAAUACCCUAGUUGCAACCUAAGCCUUCUUUUUCUCCUCCUCUCUACCUUCAGCCACUUCUUCUUCUCCUAAUCUCCUCUCCACCUCACUCCACUUUAGUUCUCACUCCACCUUAGCCGACCUUACUCCGCCGCUGAAUCAUUGUUAACCUUCAUUCUUACUCCAUCUCUUCGCCGCUGCCAAAGUGCCAUUUGCUACUCAUCUCUGGGUUUAUUGCCUUGCUGGUUCACUUAGGUAGUUUCAUAUAUCCCUAAACUAUCCCUUUAAUGUAUGACUCUUGCUUAAUUGCUUUAAAUCAGUGCUAUUAAGGGUUGGAAUAAUAAUGUAAAUUAGUUCAUUUUAUUUGCCUAUUUAGCUCAACAGUUUUGAUAUCUUCAUCUUGUUGAGUUUUAGGGAUACUACGCAGCGGAAAAAUAAAAAAUUUUCCCUAAAACCAUCCAGGAAUCACCCUAGAUUUUACGUAUGAUGUACUAGAAGUAGGGUUUUAGGAUUACCUUAAUCCAAGCAGCGUCUCCCUGCUGCGUUGUUUGAGGAUGGUCAGCCCUUAAGCAGUCCAGUUGUCCUGCCUCUACUGAUAUCCACGCUAGAGCAACCCUGGAUCGUCUCACGAACUAUGUAUUGAAGAGAAAAAGGUGCUAGCCUUCUUACUCUCUUCGAACGUAUAUUUUUUCUCUCUAUAGUAUGUGACGCUCACACUUUGUAUCUGUAUAUCAGCUAACCCCCAAAAAAACCAUUGGAGAAAGAGAGAGAUAUAUGAUAAGCUAGAAUGAUUAGUCUUCUUGUCUGAUUCAAAAUCAAAACCGUAAGACUUUUCAUCACACCAGACUCUAUCUAUCAUUAUCUGAUAGGUAAGAGAUAACCAUUUACUCUUAUCUGCUCAAAAAGGCCUGGGAUUAAUUUUCCUUUAAAAUUAAACCCCGAUAAUUUACAUAGUUUUAAUCCAGGAUUAAAUCUCUAUUGCGUGUGACCCAAUAGGUCCCGAAUGUAUUGGUAAUAAUUAUGGUUUAAUAAUUAGAUAAAAUAAACAACUUUAUUUUAUCAUAACUUAUAAUAAAUAAUUAAUCCAUAAUUAUAAAUCACGAGCGGUGUCUAGCAACACAUCGCGAUUGCCCAAUUAUUCGGAAUUAGUCAAGGGAAUUUGACCUAACCUUUCCGUGAAAAAUUACCGUGUAAUUAUUAUCCUUUCACCAAAGAUAUCCAAUUAGUCAGGAAUAAGGAAUAAGUGCCAAUUCCCUGAUGACUAAUUAAAUUUUCUAGUUCCCGAAAUUUACCCUUAAUUAGGUUAAAUUGAAGACAUUCUUCAAUUUACCUAAUAGUCGACUUUAGGGUUAAUUUCUCACUUGUGGCCAUCCAGAUAUCAACUCCUUCUAUUGGAGUGGUAAAUCCUAUCUCAAUCACCCAUUUUCUUUACAUGCUUCACACUACAUCCAACUUCUACACUUUAAGGCACUCACGAAGAGUAACAAGUAAUUAGAGUCAAAAUGUAGCGAUUCACACUCAAGAUACUAUGGUGAUCUCAAGUCGUAGGAUCACUUACACAAUUUUUCACUAGAGAUACACCAUUGGCACUAGAUAGAUAUCCUAACAGGAUCUCUAAAUGGAUCAAUCCAAUGCAUUUGUACUUUCCAAAUCAUCUACACAUUAGCCUAGGUAUCAUCAUACCAUAGUUGAUGAGAACAACCACUAAUUACAUUAAUUAGAGACUAACUGUGUACUAGUUUUACCGUACUAAAGAUGUCCUAUUUCAUUAGUACUAUAACUAGGGAAUUUUAAGAAUAUUACUAUAAAUGCGAUUGAUAUCACAUAGUCAUCAACUCUUGUGACUACCAUCCCAUUAGUAAACAUUCUAAGGACUUUAUCAGUUAUAUCUAAUAUUUAACAGAUAAAUAAGAAGUUAUUAAAAUACAAAACAUAUAAUUUAGGAAUGUAUAAAAUAAAACCAAAUACAUUGUUUUAGGGCAUACAUUCCAACAAUCUCCCACUUGCACUAAAACACAUUAUCCAUGUUUUUCAUCCCAUAAGAUAAUACAUGACUAUCAUGCUUCUUUUGAGGAAGAACUUUAGUAAGAGGAUCAGCUAUGUUAUCCUCUGUGGAGACUCUCUCUAUCUUUACAUCAUUCCUAGCAACGAUUUCUCUAAUCAAGUGAAAUCUCCUAAGCACAUGUUUGGAUCGCUGAUGAGACCUAGGUUCCUUGGCUUGAGCUAUAGCUCCAUUGUUAUCAUAGUACAAAGUGACCGGAUCAACAAUGGUUGGAACCACACCAAGUUCAGUUACAAACUUUCUGAUCCAAAUUGCUUCCUUAGCUGCUUCCGCGGCCGCAAUGUACUCAGCCUCUGUUGUAGAAUCUGCUGUGGUGUCUUGUUUGGAACUCUUCCAACAGACAGCACCUCCAUUAAGAGUAAAAAUGAAGCCUGACUGUGAUUUACAAUCAUCCUUAUCUGAUUGAAAACUCGCAUCAGUAUAGCCUUUGAGCUCUAACUCACCCUUUCCAUAUAUUAAGAACAAAUCUUUGGUCCUUCUUAAGUACUUAAGAAUGUUCUUAACGGCUAUCCAAUGACCCUCACCUGGAUUAGCUUGAAAUCUGCUUGUGACACUCAGAGCAUAGGAGACAUCAGGUCUUGUACAUAACAUAGCAUACAUAAUUGAUCCAAUUGCUGAAGCAUAUGGAACAUUGUGCAUCUUAUCAGUCUCAACUUGUGUCUUUGGACACAUGUUUUUAUAAAGGCUUAUACCAUGAGUCAUAGGUAAAUUACCCCUCUUAGACUGAUCCAUGCUAAACCUUUUUAGCACUUUCUCUAUGUAUGUAGAUUGUGAAAGACCCAGUAGCCUUUUAGAUCUAUCCCUAUAGAUCUUAAUGCCUAAUAUAUAGGCCACUUCUCCUAAAUCUUUCAUGGAAAAGUUCUUCGACAACCAACCCUUUACCGAUUGUAACAUCGGUAUAUUGUUUCCCAUUAUUAAUAUGUUAUCUACAUAUAAAAUAAGGAAAACAAUCGAACUCCCACUAACUUUCUUAUACACACAAGGUUCAUCCGGAUUCUUGAGAAAACCAAACUCUUUGAUCGUCUCAUUGAAUCGGAUGUUCCAACUCCUAGAUGCUUGCUUAAGUCCAUAAAUAGACUUUUGUAACUUACAUAUUUGACUAAGAUUUGUAGAUGUAAAACCUUCAGGUUGUGUCAUAUACACAUCCUCAUGCAAUGUCCCGUUAAGGAACGCGGUCUUUACAUCCAUCUGCCAAAUCUCAUAGUCAUGAUAUGCUGCUAUGGCAAGCAAUAUCCGAAUGGAUUUAAGCAUAGCUACUGGUGAGAAAGUUUCAUCGUAAUCGAUUCCCUCUUUCUGCUUGUAGCCUUUGGCUACCAGUCUAGCUUUAUAGGUAACCACAUUACCAUCCAUGUCAGUCUUCUUCUUGAAGAUCCAUUUACACCCUACAGGUUUUAUCCCUUCAGGUGGAUCAACUAAGGUCCACACCUUAUUGUCAUACAUGGAAUUUAUUUCGGAAUUCAUGGCUUCUAACCAUUUAGAGGAGUUUGGAUUACUUAUUGCCUCUUGGUAGGUAGUAGGUUCGUCAUCUUGAAUGACUAGAACACCAUUGCUAUGGCUCACAAGAAAUUGGUAUCUCUUGGGAGUUGAGCGUGUUCUUACUGACCUACGAAGCCCUUGUGUAUUAACAGCUUCAGUAUCUGCCCCAUCAUUAUGUGGUUGAAGCUGUUCUUCAUUAGAUCGUUCAAUGUUUGUUGGAUGAUCCUGAAUUUCUUCAAGAUCUAUUCUGCUCCCACUGCUUCUUUCUAGAAUGUAUUCUUUCUCUAGAAAAAUAGCAUGUUUUUGAGACAAACACUUUUUGCUCAAUUGGAUUGUAGAAAUAGUAUCCUAUAGACUCUCUUGGAUACCCUACAAACAAACAUUUGUCAGAUCUAGGUUCAAGCUUGUCUGACUCUGCCCUCUUCACAUAAGUUGGGCAGCCCCAAACCUUCAUAUAAGACAGAUUUGGUUUCUUUCCUUUCCAUAUCUCAUAUGGUGUGGAGUCGACAACUUUAGUGGGUACUCUAUUAAGAGUAUAAGAGGCUGCAUCUAAUGCAAAUCCCCAAAACGAUUUUGGGGCACUUGAGUGGCUCAUCAUAGAACGAACCAUAUCCAAUAAGGUUCGGUUUCUCCUUUCAGAUACACCAUUUAACUGUGGUGUACCUGGAGGAGUCCAUUGUGGAACUAUUCCAUUAUCCUUUAAAUAAACUCCAAACUCGUCGUUUAAGUAUUCUCCACCACGAUUAGAUCGUAGUAUCUUAAUACUUUUAUUGGUUUGUUUUUCUACUUCAUUCUUGAAUUCCUUAAACUUUUCAAAGGAUUCAGAUUUGUAUUUCAUUAAAUACACGUAACCAUAUCUCGAAUGGUCAUCUGUGAAGGUGAUGAAGUAUGAAAAACCUCCUCUAGCAGUGAUCGACAUUGGGCCGCAUACAUCAGUAUGUACUAGCCCAAGUAAAUCACUGGCUCGUUCCCCUUUUCCCGUGAAGGGCAAUUUGGUCAUUUUGCCUAGUAAACAAGCUUCACACGUAUCAUAUGAUUCAUAAUCAAAUGAAUCCAAGUAUCCAUGUUGGUAUAACUUGGAGAUGCGUUUUUCAUUUACAUGACCAAGCCUAUAGUGCCAGAGGUAGGUUUUAUUUAGUUUAUAUGUUCUCAUUCUUUUUUCACUCACAUUGAGAAUUUGAUGAUCAAGAUCUAGAAUAUAUAAACCGUUAUUCCAACUUCCAGAACCAUAAAACACACCAUUUUUAGAAAAAGAACAACAUUUAUUCUCCUGGGUUAUCCGAAACCCAUUUAAAUCCAAACAGGAAAUAGAAAUGAUGUUUGUAGUAAGUGCUGGAACACAAUAACAAUUUAAUAAUUCUAAAAUCAAUCCACUGGGUAAAGUGAUAUAAUAAAUCCCUACAGCUAAAGCAACAACUUUUGCUCCAUUGCCCACACGUAGGGUGACUUCUCCUUUUCCCAGCUUUCUACUGUCCCUUAGACCCUGCAUAGAUGUGCAAAUGUGAGAACCACAUCCGGUAUUUAAUACCCAAGAGUCUGAUUUGGAAGUAGACACAUUAAUCUCAAUCAUAUAUGCACCUGAUGAUGAAGCUUCAGCAAGCUUCUUUUGCUUCAGGCUCUCCAAGUAUGACUUGCAGUUCCUUUUCCAAUGUCCAGUUUGAUUACAAUGGAAGCAGGUUGCUUUGGACUGGUCCGCCUUUGCCUUUUUGGGCUUUUGGGUGGGCUUGUUUUUGGAUUUCUUAAAUCCCUUUUCUUGCCUCUUUCUCUUCUUAGAGGAAGUAACGACAAGCACACCAGUAGAGCCUUUUCCCUUUUUGAUUUCUUUCUCAGCAGUUUUCAGCACAUUCAACAAUUGAGGCAAAGUGUGCUGCAGAUUAUUCAUCUGAUAGUUCAUAACAAACUGUGAGAAAGAAUCUGGCAGAGAUUGGAGCACUAAAUCAACAUUCAGCUCCUGAUCCAUCUUAAAGCCUAAUUCGGCCAGUUUUUCAAUUAGCCCAAUUAUUUUUAAGACAUGCGGAGCAACAGGUGCUCCCUCUGCCAUCUUGCACCUGAACAAUUCUUUAGAGGUAUCAUAUCUAACCGUCCUUGAUUGUUGUUCAAACAACUCUCUCAGGUGUUGUACAAUAUCAUACGCCCCCAUGUUCAUGUGCUGCUGCUGAAGCUGAGGAGUCAUGGAAGCUAUCAUGAUACAUGAAGCUUCCCUAUUGUCAUUCUUAUGUUUCUUAUAAGCAUUUCUAACAGCAGCAGGUGCAGUAGGUUCAGGCUCUUGAGGCAUUGGACCAUCAAGUACAUACUCAAUUUUCUCAUGAGUGAGAACGAUAAGGACAUUACGAUGCCAAUCAAAAAAGUUCGUGUCGUUGAGUUUGCAAUCAGUAAGAAUAGUACGAAGGCUCAAAUUGUUACUCAUUCUACAACAAAAUGAAAGAUAGAAUUUGUUAGAAAAAUGUUUUGUUUAAUAAAAUCAUAAAAAACUUCAAAAUUAUGAUUUUAUUUCCACUAUUUUUUCCAAAUCAAUUACCCUCUAAAAUUGAAUCGGGAAUUUCUAAAAUUCCAUAGUGGCUAGGAUCCUAUCUUAAUUUAUUUCGACCUUGAGUGUGUCCCAACAAAUCGAAAAUAAUUAUGAAAGGUAGGUACUUUUACCAAUUACAACUUAUUGUAAUUCCUAGAUCAGUUAGGUGUCAACUCUUGACUUUAAAUCUCUGUGGAUCAACCCAACACUUGCCUCUAAAAUUAAUGAUUUUGAGUGAAUCCCAACAAAUCAUAAUUUUAGCUAAAUCAAACCCAUCAUUCUUGAGAACAUUUCUCAUAGCAAAAACACGUAGUAAGUAAGGUAGCCUUGGGUGAAUCCCAACAAGCUAGCACUUAAUAACUACUCUAGUUUUAUACUAUAAUGAUGGAAGGCAUUUUAUUGAUUUAAUAUUAUAGUUGAGGGAUUUGUCUCUUUUUCCAAAAAUAUUUUAUAAUUAAAAUUUUUUUGAAAAAAUUGCUCAUUUGGUCUCAUCAAUAAACAUGCAUAUAACCAUAUCAAACUUAUAAACAUGAAUUUAAAUCGUGGAUGGUUGUGGAUAUUCCUAAACUAAUUUCCCCAGCCAUUAGGAAAAUUAGCAUGAGACUAAAAUCUUUAAUACCGAGACGAACCCCUUCGUUGUAGUAUGCCUCCUUUCUCCUUUUCAAAGUAACAAUUUCUAUAUAAAUAAUAUAAAUUCCUAUCAUCUAUUCCUAUCUAUUGUACAUUACAAAUAGUAUAGAAGAAACCCCGAGUUACAUUCGGGGGGAAUUUAAAUGAGAAAAGAAAUUACAAUUAGAAAAUAAGAAAGGCAGGACACGCAGGCCCUAUUUUAAAAAUUAAUUACAACCAUUCAAACCUAGAAUGAUUGUAACCUUCCAAAAUACCACAAUCAUAUUGCGUACUAUAUCCACAACCAUCCACCAUGCAUUUUCACAAUUUAAACAACUUUAAAUAAAAGAAAAGCAUGUAAAAUAAGCAAUCUCAAUUCAUGGAUUAAUUGAAUUUAACUCCUAAGGUCCCAAACAAAAUUUUGGGUCCAUGCAUAUGCGAGAAUAAUUGGUAAAAUUAAAUUUUAUCAGGUCAACUUUAUCCUCAACUAAUUUGAGGAAAGAAUGGGAAAAUAAUUCAAAUUAGUUCUAAAUUAAUUCCCAACCUAAUAAUAUAUCAAAUCAAUGAUUCCAUAACACAUUUUAACAAUUAAAAUGGGAUUUAAUUCAGAAGAUUGCCAAAAGUUCAAAACUUCAAGUUUUAGGAAAAAUUUUUUUUUUUUUUCUAAACCAUUCUUGCAAUCGUUUUCUAUCAUCACCGGCAACUCCCACUGGACACCACCACUUCAGUCACCACCGCUGAGGUCUCCACUGACCAUCAAUGGAAGCAACUCCCAGCGGCAGCCACCAGGGAGUUCACUGGAAACAACCACUCGAUUGCAACAUCAAGCUGCAAAGUUUUCCUGAGCCUGAUUGCUGCUGCUCCUCGUUGUCGCGCCUGUUUGCUGGAUAGCGGAGCUACCACCGCAACAGCCACCACCACUGGAGUCUCCACUGACCACCAGUGGCAGCGGCUCCUGGUAGCAGCCACCGCAGGUCAUGGGCAGCAACCGUGAGGAGGCUGCUGCGCCCUUGCUGAUGCCUGCAGCAUUUUUGCUGCGUUUUUGUCCCAGAGAGCUCAUAGCUCUUCUACCCAGCAACCACCACCAGGCGUACAACCUCCCACUGCCACCAAGGAAAACCACCAUGGCCUCACAUGGCAGCAGCAGCUGGCGGCAGCCCUUGCAGCCGCAGCAUCGCAGCAACCGCAGGUUUGCAAACGCAAACUUGCUAUGUCGGUUUUUUUUUUUUUUGGUCCAAUGAUCAUCCUGCAACUUUUGCAAAUGAUCAACUAUGACCAUGGGUGACCCAAAUCCACGAAAGAAGGGAAAAAGGAAAAAAACCAGGUGCUUGUGAAAAACUUGCGACUGCGGCCGCGGCUUUCAAAAGCUUUCAAAAACCAGGUUUUCAAAAGCUUUCAUGAAAACCCUUUUUUUUUUUCUUGAAAAACGAAAGUUAAUUUUCCCAUAAUUUCGCAUAUUAAUUAAAUCCAAUCAGUAGUAUUAAUCCAUGAAUCCAAAAUUGCCUAAAAUCAUACGUAAAAUUCUUAGAGAUGGCUCUGAUACCACUGUUGGGUUUUAGGGAUACUACGCAGCGGAAAAAUAAAAUAUUUUCCCUAAAACCAUCCAGGAAUCACCCUAGAUUUUACGUAUGAUGUACUAGAAGUAGGGUUUUAGGAUUACCUUAAUCUAAGUAGCGUCUCCCUGCAGCGUUGUUUGAGGAUGGUCAGCCCUUAAGCAGUCCAGUUGUCCUGCCUCUACUGAUAUCCACGCUAGAGCAACCCUGGAUCGUCUCACUGUAAGGACCCGCAAAUUUCUUACAUUUUUUUUCUUUUCUUCAAAAAAGCCUUUUAUUUGAAAAUUAUUAUUUAUUAAAGCCCUACUACCCAAAUGUUCCACAAUAAGUGCAUAUGAACCUAGAAAGUAGGGUUUUACUCUUCGUUUCCAAGAUUGGGGCAAAUUAGGGUUUUCGCGAUUUUUCGCCGAAUGAAAUUUCGGUAUGGAGCAAGGAUCAAAUUUGGUGAUUAAAAGUGAAUUUUAAGUGAGAAAUAAUAUGUGAUUAGGAGCAAUGAGAUAAGGUUGGUGAAUAGGAAGUAAAAACCCUAGUACGUGUGUUUUUAAGAAAAACGGCGCGAACCGGCGGGUCCCGCGCACUACCGGUUGAACACACCACUUGAUCACCAUUUUCUUACCAUACAAGCUCAUUAAUAUUUGAGCAAAAUAUCUCCAAAAUUCCAGCUAAGCUUGACCGAAAUUAGAGGCUGAAAACAUGAAAGUUGUAGAGAAUGGUAUUUUAUAGGUUCCUACUAAAUUUCAGCUCAAUCGGAGCAACGUAGCCCGUGAAAAGACCAAAAUACCCUCACUAUUUUAGGAAAUUUCCAGUAUUCCGUUUUUGUCAAUUCAUCCAGUUUAUCAUGUUUGUUCACUAGGAUCCAUGCUGAUUUAGCUUUUUGAAAAAACAUGAAAGUUUUAGUAUUCUGUCUUAGAUUUUAAAUGCCACCAAGAACACCUUAAUUGGACCUUGGUAACCUGAGUUAUGACCAUUCCAGUGCAGUGCGGUUGAUUAGCCGACUAGUUGGAUUUUGGUUCUGUAAAUUGGGGAAUUUGACUAGGUUACAUUGGAAACUGGACUAAGUGAUUUUCAUGAACAUUGUAGCCCUGUGUCUUAGCUUCGUAAUGGUAUAGGUUACGCCUCAAUCCGAUAAGCGUAGCCUCGGAUGUGUUAUUUUCGCAACCACACGUCAAAUCUGUCUUUUGCUAGAUUGUAUUUCCGCACUUGUUACGACUUUGAUACUUAUUCUUAUGAUGUUAUGAGCCUAUGGAACGGCUAUUGACUUGAAUUUAUGAUAUAUAUGACUUUGGGAUUGGCUGAGGAAAAAUAAUGAAGCCUAAAUGGCUGGAAAAUUAGGUAAACACAAAGGGCGUGCUGCCCAAAUUUUCGCUCGAGGGCUAGGUUUCUAUUUGAACUUGUAUACUUUUGUUUGGCCAAUACCAUGACCGGCUUUCCAUUUUAAAACAUGAUUUUUCAUCCUUGGGUUCAAACAACCCUCUUCUUACUUGAAAGUCAUCUUUACACGUUUUACUCCUAAUUAGUCGGGUUUCUUUGUUUCUCUUAAAUGUUUUGCUCGAUAAACUGAAAUAUGUUCUCUUGUUCAACCUUAGGUUUCAUUGGUGAUUAAGGGUAAUAUCCGGAAGGAUAUUUUGCACGUUAUUUUGCAUAACUAGGUGAGUGUUCCUUAUUUGACUUUAUGGCUUGUUGUUAUCGUUUGCUAAUGUGUUAAGUGCUUUUAAUGAUUUCCAAAACGAGCUUUCUAGGCGAGUGUGUACUUUAUCGCACUCGACCUAAAUAACUGUGCAAUUUUCAAGGAUUUAAUGAUUAAAAUGUUACUUGCGCAUGAAUGUAAGCCUUUUGGGCUGAACUGGCCAUUGCCCCUUGUUACCAGUCGUCUCGAGCCAGAAGCGGACUCGGUCGGGCGAUUAGGAACUUGGGUGAACGUUUGGUAUACUCGAGUAUUACCCUGUAGGUUGGUGGAGACUGGCCAACGGCCAGGACGGGGGUGAAUGAAUGAAUGAACGAACGAACAAACGAACGAGGGUUUAUUGAUAAACGAAAAAUGCAUUUUCAAAUGAUUGGAGGAAUAAGGGGGAAAUGACAGGAGAACGAAUGAACGAACGAACGAAUUGCUCCUUGUGAGCCGUAUCCUUUUAAUGAAUGUUGCUAUCACUUUCCAUUGUAAAUGUUUCUUGAAUUAUUGAUACUCCAUGUUUAAUGUAUUGAAUUGAUUGUUUGAUUAUCUGUUCGAAACCUCACUGAGCUUUUAGCUCACCCCUUUAGUUUUGUUUUCCUUAACAGGGGACGGCGAGCAGGAUGAGAGCAUAGACUAGCCUAGUCUAGGUCUUUUGUUUCUUUUGUAAUGGUUCUCGCCCUAGUGCUUGGCACGGGCUAGUUGUAUGGUGAAGUGAGAACCUUUGUACAUUUGAUGGCUGUACUUCCUUUUGAGAUAGCAAUGUAUAUAAGUUUCGCUUUUGGAUUGCUGCCCUAUUUAUUCUUGUGAUUUAUUCUGAUUUUAAUUGAGGACUGUAGUGAAUGACUGAGUCCCGGCGAGAGUUGGGCAGGCGACCCGCCGAACCCUGGGGUACGCCCUAGGGGGAGGUGGGAUCGUCACUGGUGGUAUCAGAGCCAUAUGCCGACAGUUGGGACUUUAAGUCCUUCGUCUGGAAAAGCCCCGAGCCUCUCGUUCAUGAAGAGUCACGAAGCGAAACUCUCCGUAGGGGAUGCCCGCGUGCGGGUGGCAAGCUGAUAGGUACCCCGUGAUGUGACCCUGAGAACUGUCACAGGUGGUAUCAGAGCUUAGGCUUUAGAUCUCUGUAGUGUAUCCUAGGCUUGAAAUUUAGGAUGCCGGACUGUGGGAUUCGAUUUGACUUGAAAGUUAAACGAUUGAGGGAUAAAACCUAUAGCUGCUUCGCGUGGUUUCUGCGCGGAGUGACCCUGGACUAAGUGGUGAAUAAGUAUGAGGGACUAAGUGAAGCUAUGAAUUGUGAAUGUUAUAGACCUUAAAUCUUUCUUAUGGUAUCUGAGGACUAUAGAAAGGUACGUCAGGUAGGAAUUUCUAUUGUAGAUGGUUUACUCCUGGGACUGUAGCUCGAGAUGUGAACUAUCUUAUUUCGGAUUCUCGUGCCUGAGUACUCUAUCGUUGAGGUGCUGCUAAAUACUUGAGACUUGCAUUUUGGGAACAUGAACGGGUUUUGUCUGGCUAGAAUAAGUAUAAGAGAUCAACGGACAUCGAGUCGGAUAGAAAGUGACGUGAGAAAUCGGACGGGGUUAUUCUAGUUGGGUGUGGGACGAUAUACCCCUUUUCUUUUGAUUCGCCCGUAUAUUGUCACUACAUGCCGUCAGUUGUGUACUUGUGUAUUGAAUAUCCACUUGACUUGAGACGUAUUUGUGUAUUUGAUUAUCUGUUUCUUUGAUAUGUUUAUGUGGUGUGUUAUGUGGGUAUAUGUUUAUUUGAGUAUUUGGUGCCCUCAAUUUUAGUUACUUUAGUCACCUUAUCGUGUUUAUUUACUAAAUUACCUUUCGGGGAAAAAGAAAAGAGAGGGAAAACAUAUAUAUGGACGGGAGACGUAGCCGUGGACGUGGACGUGGCCGUGGGAAUGAACGAGCUCAAGAGCCAAGAGAGGAAAGAGAAACAACAGCUGCACAAGAGCAAGGAACGAGGGUUGAAGCCGAAAACCAAAUGGCAACGGUAAUGCAACAAAUGACAGAUAUCUUGGCAAGACUGGUGGAUCAACAAGGCCAAAUGGCCGUGAAUCAACCCCGGAACCCUGAAAUCGGAGAAGAUAAGGCUCUUGAGAGGUUUCAGAAGUUUACUCCUCCGAAAUUCCUUGGAGGAUCUGAUCCGGAUAUAGCCGAACAAUGGUUAAAGGCCAUGAUGAAUAUUUUCACCGUCUUGAACUACACCGAGCAAAGACAAGUAAACUUUGCGGUGUUCCAAUUUGAAGGAUCGGCCCGAGCGUGGUGGAACGUUAUUAAAGCAAAAUGGGAAAGAGAACAGACCGUAUGGACAUGGACGAAUUUCAUAAGGGAAUUUAACGAGAAAUACCUCCCUUCUUUAGUUCAAGAGAGGAGAGAGGAAGAGUUUAUUGGACUACGCCAAGGAACGCUAAGUGUGGCCAAAUAUGAAACGAAAUUUACGAAACUAUCCAAGUUUGCUUCUGAAUUGGUGGCCACAGAGCGGCGAAGAGUAAGACGGUUUAUACAGGGAUUAAAUUUGGAACUCCAAGAAGCAUUAGCGGCAGUACAAGUGAAUACGUUUACAGAGGCCCUUGAGAAAGCUCAAAGAAUCGAGACUACAAAGACACAGAUAAAAGCUUUCCAGACCCAGAAAAGGAGUGCAUCGAGUAGUGUAGUGGAGGAAUUAAGUGAAGCGAGAGUCCCUUCCAAAGUGCAAAAGGUGAACUUUUUGUCCCACCCACCAUGGACAUUAGGGGCGAUAGGUGAAGGAUCUACAAAAGAAAGCCAAAUCAGAUUUGGAAAAAGUUUUCAAGAAAGCCAAAAGAUGGCUUCUCACGUGGUCUGUGGGUACUGUGGAAAGCAAAUCAUGUCGAAAGCAAUUGUUGGAGAAAGGGGCGGAAAUGUUUAAUCUGCGGAAGUGGCGAUCAUCAAGUUAGCAACUGUCCGAGGAGACAGUCACGUGAAAGCAAUAUUCUGCAACUGGAUGGAGCUAAAUCACAAGUGAAUGAAGGAGGGAAACAAACUAGCGGACCGGCAAGGGUUUAUGCUUUAGACAACCGACAAGUUCCGGACUCGUCUGAGGCAACUGAAGGUAAAAUUUCGAGGACGAAAUUUUUUUAAGGGGGAGAGAGUGUAAGGACCCGCAAAUUUCUUACAUUUUUUUUUCCUUUUCUUCAAAAAUGCCUUUUAUUUGAAAAUUAUUAUUUAUUAAAGCCCUACUACCCAAAUGUUCCACAAUAAGUGCAUAUGAACCUAGAAAGUAGGGUUUUACUCUUCAUUUCCAAGAUUGGGGCAAAUUAGGGUUUUCGCAAUUUUUCGCCGGAUGAAAUUUCGGUAUGGAGCAAGGAUCAAAUUUGGUGAUUAAAAGUGAAUUUUAAGUGAGAAAUAAUAUGUGAUUAGGAGUAAUGAGAUAAGGUUGGUGAAUAGGAAGUAAAAACCCUAGUACGUGUGUUUUUAAGAAAAACGGCGCGAACCGGCGGGUCCCGCGCACUACCGGUUGAACACACCACUUGAUCACCAUUUUCUUACCAUACAAGCUCAUUAAUAUUUGAGCAAAAUAUCUCCUAAAUUCCAGCUAAGCUUGACCGAAAUUAGAGGCUGAAAAUACAAGAAAAGAAAAGGAAAUUUUACUUGGUAAGGGUUGUGACAAGUGUCACACCAUUAGAGGCUAUUGACCAAGACAUUGUCCAAUCUUCUUAUCCCCGAAAUUGCACAAUUCUUCCUCAUUAUUUCUGCUGAAGAGCCGAGAGAGAGAUAGAGCAAAAACAAGAGAAAAGCUUCUCCAUUUCUUCUUGAAUCAAGUCACAAAGUGAGGAAACAAAGAAACUAAACCGAUUAAAGGCGCCCUUGAGUGUUUAUUGAGUGAGCUAUUGGUGAAAUUUUGAAGGGGAAGGCUAGGGUUGCUCUUGGUAGACACUAAGCAAGGUAAGGAUGAUGAUUUCCCCAAUUUUUACUCUUAAUCUUGUUUAAAUUAGCUUAGCAUCUCAAGAUUGUGAUGAAUUACGGUUGUUAUCAUGUUUUGGGUAAUUUUUCCUUUUGUUACAUGAGUUAGGGUUUAAUAAAUUUCUGCCUAAACUUGAUGUAUGAUGAAUAUAUGUUGUAUCCAAGGUUAUAUAGGGGGUUUUGGUAGCAAGUGGAGUAAGAAAUUAAGAAAGUUAUCAUUGAAACCAAAAGAUUUCAGAUUUCUGGAAAAUUGUCACUAGGUUCUGCCCGUUUUUAUUGCCCUAUGUUAGAGGCCGAAUUGGGCUUGGAAUAAAACAUGAAAGUUGUAGAGAAUGGUAUUUUAUAGGUGCCUACAAAAUUUCAGCUCAAUCGGAGCAACGUAGCCCGUGAAAAGACCAAAAUACCCUCACUGUUUUAGGAAAUUUCCAGUAUUCCGUUUUCGUCAGUUCAUCCAGUUUAUCAUGUUUGUUCACUAGGAUCCAUGCUGAUUUAGCUUUUUGAACAAAACAUGAAAGUUUUAGUAUUCUGUCUUAGCUUUUAAAUGCCACCAAGAACACCUUAAUUGGACCUUGGUAACCUGAGUUAUGACCAUUCCAGUGCAGUGCGGUUGAUUAGCCGACUAGUUGGAUUUUGGUUCUGUAAAUUGGGGAAUUUGACUAGGUUACAUUGGAAACUGGACUAAGUGAUCUUCAUGAACAUUGUAGCCCUGUGUCUUAGCUUCGUAAUGGUAUAGGUUGCACCUCAAUCCGAUAAGCGUAGCCUCGGAUGUGUUAUUUUCGCAACCACACGUCAAAUCUGUCUUUUGCUAGAUUGUAUUUCCGCACUUGUUACGACUUUGAUACUUAUUCUUAUGAUGUUAUGAGCCUAUGGAACGGCUAUUGACUUGAAUUUAUGAUAUAUAUGACUUUGGGAUUGGCUGAGGAAAAAUAAUGAAGCCUAAAUGGCUGGAAAAUUAGGUAAACACAAAGGGCGUGCUGCCCAAAUUUUCGCUCGAGGGCUAGGUUUCUAUUUGAACUUGUAUACUUUUGUUUGGCCAAUACCAUGACCGGCUUUCCAUUUUAAAACAUGAUUUUUCAUCCUUGGAUUCAAACAACCCUUUUCUUACUUGAAAGUCAUCUUUACACGUUUUACUCCUAAUUAGUCGGGUUUCUUUGUUUCCCUUAAAUGUUUUGCUCGAUAAACUGAAAUAUGUUCUCUUGUUCAACCUUAGGUUUCAUUGGUGACUAAGGGUAAUAUCCGGAAGGAUAUUUUGCACGUUAUUUUGCAUAACUAGGUGAGUGUUCCUUAUUUGACUUUAUGGCUUGUUGUUAUCGUUUGCUAAUGUGUUAAGUGCUUUUAAUGAUUUCCAAAACGAGCUUUCUAGGCGAGUGUGUACUUUAUCGCACUCGACCUAAAUAACUGUGCAAUUUUCAAGGAUUUAAUGAUUAAAAUGUUACUUGCGCAUGAAUGUAAGCCUUUUGGGCUGAACUGGCCAUUGCCCCUUGUUACCAGUCGUCUCGAGCCAGAAGCGGACUCGGUCGGGCGAUUAGGAACUUGGGUGAACGUUUGGUAUACUCGAGUAUUACCCUGUAGGUUGGUGGAGACUGGCCAACGGCCAGGACGGGGGUGAAUGAAUGAAUGAACGAACGAACAAACGAACGAGGGUUUAUUGAUAAACGAAAAAUGCAUUUUCAAAUGAUUGGAGGAAUAAGGGGGAAAUGACAGGAGAACGAAUGAACGAACGAACGAAUUGCUCCUUGUGAGCCGUAUCCUUUUAAUGAAUGUUGCUAUCACUUUCCAUUGUAAAUGUUUCUUGAAUUAUUGAUACUCCAUGUUUAAUGUAUUGAAUUGAUUGUUUGAUUAUCUGUUCGAAACCUCACUGAGCUUUUAGCUCACCCCUUUAGUUUUGUUUUCCUUAACAGGGGACGGCGAGCAGGAUGAGAGCAUAGACUAGCCUAGUCUAGGUCUUUUGUUUCUUUUGUAAUGGUUCUCGCCCUAGUGCUUGGCACGGGCUAGUUGUAUGGUGAAGUGAGAACCUUUGUACAUUUGAUGGCUGUACUUCCUUUUGAGAUAGCAAUGUAUAUAAGUUUCGCUUUUGGAUUGCUGCCCUAUUUAUUCUUGUGAUUUAUUCUGAUUUUAAUUGAGGACUGUAGUGAAUGACUGAGUCCCGGCGAGAGUUGGGCAGGCGACCCGCCGAACCCUGGGGUACGCCCUAGGGGGAGGUGGGAUCGUCACUGGUGGUAUCAGAGCCAUAUGCCGACAGUUGGGACUUUAAGUCCUUCGUCUGGAAAAGCCCCGAGCCUCUCGUUCAUGAAGAGUCACGAAGCGAAACUCUCCGUAGGGGAUGCCCGCGUGCGGGUGGCAAGCUGAUAGGUACCCCGUGAUGUGACCCUGAGAACUGUCACAGGUGGUAUCAGAGCUUAGGCUUUAGAUCUCUGUAGUGUAUCCUAGGCUUGAAAUUUAGGAUGCCGGACUGUGGGAUUCGAUUUGACUUGAAAGUUAAACGAUUGAGGGAUAAAACCUAUAGCUGCUUCGCGUGGUUUCUGCGCGGAGUGACCCUGGACUAAGUGGUGAAUAAGUAUGAGGGACUAAGUGAAGCUAUGAAUUGUGAAUGUUAUAGACCUUAAAUCUUUCUUAUGGUAUCUGAGGACUAUAGAAAGGUACGUCAGGUAGGAAUUUCUAUUGUAGAUGGUUUACUCCUGGGACUGUAGCUCGAGAUGUGAACUAUCUUAUUUCGGAUUCUCGUGCCUGAGUACUCUAUCGUUGAGGUGCUGCUAAAUACUUGAGACUUGCAUUUUGGGAACAUGAACGGGUUUUGUCUGGCUAGAAUAAGUAUAAGAGAUCAACGGACAUCGAGUCGGAUAGAAAGUGACGUGAGAAAUCGGACGGGGUUAUUCUAGUUGGGUGUGGGACGAUAUACCCCUUUUCUUUUGAUUCGCCCGUAUAUUGUCACUACAUGCCGUCAGUUGUGUACUUGUGUAUUGAAUAUCCACUUGACUUGAGACGUAUUUGUGUAUUUGAUUAUCUGUUUCUUUGAUAUGUUUAUGUGGUGUGUUAUGUGGGUAUAUGUUUAUUUGAGUAUUUGGUGCCCUCAAUUUUAGUUACUUUAGUCACCUUAUCGUGUUUAUUUACUAAAUUACCUUUCGGGGAAAAAGAAAAGAGAGGGAAAACAUAUAUAUGGACGGGAGACGUAGCCGUGGACGUGGACGUGGCCGUGGGAAUGAACGAGCUCAAGAGCCAAGAGAGGAAAGAGAAACAACAGCUGCACAAGAGCAAGGAACGAGGGUUGAAGCCGAAAACCAAAUGGCAACGGUAAUGCAACAAAUGACAGAUAUCUUGGCAAGACUGGUGGAUCAACAAGGCCAAAUGGCCGUGAAUCAACCCCGGAACCCUGAAAUCGGAGAAGAUAAGGCUCUUGAGAGGUUUCAGAAGUUUACUCCUCCGAAAUUCCUUGGAGGAUCUGAUCCGGAUAUAGCCGAACAAUGGUUAAAGGCCAUGAUGAAUAUUUUCACCGUCUUGAACUACACCGAGCAAAGACAAGUAAACUUUGCGGUGUUCCAAUUUGAAGGAUCGGCCCGAGCGUGGUGGAACGUUAUUAAAGCAAAAUGGGAAAGAGAACAGACCGUAUGGACAUGGACGAAUUUCAUAAGGGAAUUUAACGAGAAAUACCUCCCUUCUUUAGUUCAAGAGAGGAGAGAGGAAGAGUUUAUUGGACUACGCCAAGGAACGCUAAGUGUGGCCAAAUAUGAAACGAAAUUUACGAAACUAUCCAAGUUUGCUUCUGAAUUGGUGGCCACAGAGCGGCGAAGAGUAAGACGGUUUAUACAGGGAUUAAAUUUGGAACUCCAAGAAGCAUUAGCGGCAGUACAAGUGAAUACGUUUACAGAGGCCCUUGAGAAAGCUCAAAGAAUCGAGACUACAAAGACACAGAUAAAAGCUUUCCAGACCCAGAAAAGGAGUGCAUCGAGUAGUGUAGUGGAGGAAUUAAGUGAAGCGAGAGUCCCUUCCAAAGUGCAAAAGGUGAACUUUUUGUCCCACCCACCAUGGACAUUAGGGGCGAUAGGUGAAGGAUCUACAAAAGAAAGCCAAAUCAGAUUUGGAAAAAGUUUUCAAGAAAGCCAAAAGAUGGCUUCUCACGUGGUCUGUGGGUACUGUGGAAAGCAAAUCAUGUCGAAAGCAAUUGUUGGAGAAAGGGGCGGAAAUGUUUAAUCUGCGGAAGUGGCGAUCAUCAAGUUAGCAACUGUCCGAGGAGACAGUCACGUGAAAGCAAUAUUCUGCAACUGGAUGGAGCUAAAUCACAAGUGAAUGAAGGAGGGAAACAAACUAGCGGACCGGCAAGGGUUUAUGCUUUAGACAACCGACAAGUUCCGGACUCGUCUGAGGCAACUGAAGGUAAAAUUUCGAGGACGAAAUUUUUUUAAGGGGGAGAGAGUGUAAGGACCCGCAAAUUUCUUACAUUUUUUUUUCCUUUUCUUCAAAAAUGCCUUUUAUUUGAAAAUUAUUAUUUAUUAAAGCCCUACUACCCAAAUGUUCCACAAUAAGUGCAUAUGAACCUAGAAAGUAGGGUUUUACUCUUCAUUUCCAAGAUUGGGGCAAAUUAGGGUUUUCGCAAUUUUUCGCCGGAUGAAAUUUCGGUAUGGAGCAAGGAUCAAAUUUGGUGAUUAAAAGUGAAUUUUAAGUGAGAAAUAAUAUGUGAUUAGGAGUAAUGAGAUAAGGUUGGUGAAUAGGAAGUAAAAACCCUAGUACGUGUGUUUUUAAGAAAAACGGCGCGAACCGGCGGGUCCCGCGCACUACCGGUUGAACACACCACUUGAUCACCAUUUUCUUACCAUACAAGCUCAUUAAUAUUUGAGCAAAAUAUCUCCUAAAUUCCAGCUAAGCUUGACCGAAAUUAGAGGCUGAAAAUACAAGAAAAGAAAAGGAAAUUUUACUUGGUAAGGGUUGUGACAAGUGUCACACCAUUAGAGGCUAUUGACCAAGACAUUGUCCAAUCUUCUUAUCCCCGAAAUUGCACAAUUCUUCCUCAUUAUUUCUGCUGAAGAGCCGAGAGAGAGAUAGAGCAAAAACAAGAGAAAAGCUUCUCCAUUUCUUCUUGAAUCAAGUCACAAAGUGAGGAAACAAAGAAACUAAACCGAUUAAAGGCGCCCUUGAGUGUUUAUUGAGUGAGCUAUUGGUGAAAUUUUGAAGGGGAAGGCUAGGGUUGCUCUUGGUAGACACUAAGCAAGGUAAGGAUGAUGAUUUCCCCAAUUUUUACUCUUAAUCUUGUUUAAAUUAGCUUAGCAUCUCAAGAUUGUGAUGAAUUACGGUUGUUAUCAUGUUUUGGGUAAUUUUCCUUUUGUUACAUGAGUUAGGGUUUAAUAAAUUUCUGCCUAAACUUGAUGUAUGAUGAAUAUAUGUUGUAUCCAAGGUUAUAUAGGGGGUUUUGGUAGCAAGUGGAGUAAGAAAUUAAGAAAGUUAUCAUUGAAACCAAAAGAUUUCAGAUUACUGGAAAAUUGUCACUAGGUUCUGCCCGUUUUUAUUGCCCUAUGUUAGAGGCCGAAUUGGGCUUGGAAUAAAACAUGAAAGUUGUAGAGAAUGGUAUUUUAUAGGUUCCUACUAAAUUUCAGCUCAAUCGGAGCAACGUAGCCCGUGAAAAGACCAAAAUACCCUCACUAUUUUAGGAAAUUUCCAGUAUUCCGUUUUUGUCAAUUCAUCCAGUUUAUCAUGUUUGUUCACUAGGAUCCAUGCUGAUUUAGCUUUUUGAAAAAACAUGAAAGUUUUAGUAUUCUGUCUUAGAUUUUAAAUGCCACCAAGAACACCUUAAUUGGACCUUGGUAACCUGAGUUAUGACCAUUCCAGUGCAGUGCGGUUGAUUAGCCGACUAGUUGGAUUUUGGUUCUGUAAAUUGGGGAAUUUGACUAGGUUACAUUGGAAACUGGACUAAGUGAUCUUCAUGAACAUUGUAGCCCUGUGUCUUAGCUUCGUAAUGGUAUAGUUUGUGCCUCAAUCCGAUAAGCGUAGCCUCGGAUGUGUUAUUUCCGCAACCACACGUCAAAUCUGUCUUUUGCUAGAUUGUAUUUCCGCACUUGUUACGACUUUGAUACUUAUUCUUAUGAUGUUAUGAGCCUAUGGAACGGCUAUUGACUUGAAUUUAUGAUAUAUAUGACUUUGGGAUUGGCUGAGGAAAAAUAAUGAAGCCUAAAUGACUGGAAAAUUAGGUAAACACAAAUGGCGUGCUGCCCAAAUUUUCGCUCGAGGGCUAGGUUUCUAUUUGAACUUGUAUACUUUUGUUUGGCCAAUACCAUGACCGGCUUUCCAUUUUAAAACAUGAUUUUUCAUCCUUGGGUUCAAACAACCAUCUUCUUACUUGAAAGUCAUCUUUACACGUUUUACUCCUAAUUAGUCGGGUUUCUUUGUUUCCCUUAAAUGUUUUGCUCGAUAAACUGAAAUAUGUUCUCUUGUUCAACCUUAGGUUUCAUUGGUGACUAAGGGUAAUAUCCGGAAGGAUAUUUUGCACGUUAUUUUGCAUAACUAGGUGAGUGUUCCUUAUUUGACUUUAUGGCUUGUUGUUAUCGUUUACUAAUGUGUUAAGUGCUUUUAAUGAUUUCCAAAACGAGCUUUCUAGGCGAGUGUGUACUUUAUCGCACUCGACCUAAAUAACUGUGCAAUUUUCAAGGAUUUAAUGAUUAAAAUGUUACUUGCGCAUGAAUGUAAGCCUUUUGGGCUGAACUGGCCAUUGCCCCUUGUUACCAGUCGUCUCGAGCCAGAAGCGGACUCGGUCGGGCGAUUAGGAACUUGGGUGAACGUUUGGUAUACUCGAGUAUUACCCUGUAGGUUGGUGGAGACUGGCCAACGGCCAGGACGGGGGUGAAUGAAUGAAUGAACGAACGAACAAACGAACGAGGGUUUAUUGAUAAACGAAAAAUGCAUUUUCAAAUGAUUGGAGGAAUAAGGGGGAAAUGACAGGAGAACGAAUGAACGAACGAACGAAUUGCUCCUUGUGAGCCGUAUCCUUUUAAUGAAUGUUGCUAUCACUUUUCAUUGUAAAUGUUUCUUGAAUUAUUGAUACUCCAUGUUUAAUGUAUUGAAUUGAUUAUUUGAUUAUCUGUUCGGAACCUCACUUAGCUUUUAGCUCACCCCUUUAGUUUUGUUUUCCUUAACAGGGGACGGCGAGCAGGAUGAGAGCAUAGACUAGCCUAGUCUAGGUCUUUUGUUUCUUUUGUAAUGGUUCUCGCCCUAGUGCUUGAUAACAAAGAAGAGGUUGUCAUGGCAUUAGUGGCAUGAAUGUAGUCUGGAACAAUAUGAUAGAACAUGAUAACAAAGAAGAGGUUGUCAUGGCAUUCACAAUGAAAGAAAAAUAUGAUAAGCAUUGGGGAAAAAAAGAAAAAAUGAACAUGCUUAUUUUUGUUGCCUCCAUUCUUGAUCCACAUAUUAAAUUUGAGUAUGCAGAGUUUGUGCUUAUAAAAAUGUAUCGUCUGCAUGAUGGUGGAAACAUAGCUUCACUUGCAAAAGAAGCUUUGGUGCAACUAUUUUCUGAGUACAUAAAACUCAUCUUCCCUCUUGAAGUGAACUCCCCAGCUUUUUCAAGUAAAUUUGGAGCAAUUGAUAAAGGUACAAUGUCUAGUGAUAUGGAUGCUGGAAAACGCAUUCAAGACAUGUACAAAGAGGGGUUUAAAAAAAGAAAGAUAGAAACUGGUAUCAAUGAUUCAAAAAUUGAAUUGAAUAAAUAUCUCGGUGAGGAUUGUGAAGAAGAAGAAGAUGACUUUAAUAUUUUGACAUGGUGGAAGGUGAAUAGUCCUUGAUCCCUGUUCUUUCUAAAUUAGCUCAUGAUGUGUUGGUUGUGCCCAUAUCUACGGUUGCUUCUAAAGCUGCUUUUAACAUAGAUGGAAGAGUCCUUGAUCCAUUUAGGAGUUCUUUAACUCCUAGAAUAGUGCAAGCUUUGAUUUACACUCAAGAUUGGCUUCAGCCAUCGGACUCCAAACUGAAUGUGGAAGAAGAAUUGGAGGAUCUUGAAACUUUAGAAUCUCAUAAGAUAUUUCUUAUCUAAUGCAUAUGCUGAUUCUUGUAAAAUUCCAUUUCUCUAUUGUUUUAAAGUAACUAAUGUUUCUCAUUUUUAUGUUUUGUUGCAGGUUUGAUUAAGGGAGGUGUUGAAACUUCAAUCACCCUUUAGUUGGAGAAGUUCAGAAGAUACUGGGGCUUUGACUUUGUUGCAGGCAGCAUAUUUAGUUGUUUACUAAGUUUCUCUUACCUAACUAUUUGAACUUUCAAGACAAUUUGGCAUUAUGGAUUCUAUUGAAUUUGAACGAUUUUUGAUUUCUGACUUCUGAAUUCAGUUGUGACUUGUGGAAUGUGGACUUGUGACUUUAGUCUUUUAUGACUUGUGUUGUAUUUGAAUUGAUGAAUUCUGGCACUUCUAAUGUGUGUGUUGAUUUCUUUUGACUUCGUGUUAUAAGCCUAUAACUCGACUAAUUACAGUGGCUAUUAGACUUGAUUAUAGGAGUUUAAUUAGGCUGGAAAUUGCAAAUUUUGAAAUGGAGUCUUCAGCAACAAAUUUACUUUUUUUUAAUGAAAAUGGUUAACUCAAAUUCAUUACUAUUUUCGAAUUCAAAUUUGGAAAUGAAAUUAAUUCAGAUAUCUCCAAUUCAAAAUUGAAAAUGGUUUAAAUUUCUACAAAUCUAAUAACCGAAAUAACUGAAUUCAACUAACCUAAUUAUCAAAUUUGCAUUGAAUGCUCACCCUUAGUUGGGAAACAAAGUCCUGCUUUGUCAAUGGACUUUCAUAUGAUGCCUCAAGUACAUAAAAUGGAUGUUGAUUCGUGCUAAUUUAAACCAUGCAUAGCCAGAUCAAGGGGAAAAUGGUCAUUUUGGUACCUCAUAUUUGAAGUUUUGGCCAAUUUAAUCUUUUAUCCAUUAUUGCGACCAUUUUAUUUCUUUAUUUUACAAAAAAAAAAAAAACAAUUUAGGACCUCUAACAUUAAUCCAUAUAUGGAAUGUGCCUUGUUAAAAAUGACCAUCUUGAUCGACUAUCUUUAGGUUUGUUUUCAAAUUUGUCCUUUCAACAAUUUAAAUUAUCAUUUAUACAAAAUAAAGUCAAUAUAAUGUUAAAAAAUCCUAAUGGAACCGACUCCAUACACUAUAAAUCUACAUUUGAAACAAAAAAUGAGCAAAAUAGGAUAAAAAAGCAUACCACUCAUUCUAAAUUCAGUCAAUAGUAUUUUUCUAUAUGUAGAUAAGAUACUAAUGGUUGAUACUAUAAAAGGCGUUGAAGAUACUAAUUCUUCAAAAUAAAGGAUCCUGGAAAGUUGAUACUAUCUUAAAUAUCAAAAUCAGGAAAAUAGUAAAGGUUAUGUUUUGUGUCAAUCUCAUAUAUUAACAAAACAUUAAAUUAGUUUCAACAUCUAAAGAUAAAAGGUGAGUACUAUCUUUAGUUCUAACUUGAAAUUUCAUAAAAUUUUGGUAGUUCAAUUGCUCAAUUUUCAUAUACAAAUGCCAUUGGAAACUUGAUGUAUGCAUUGCACACUCUACAAGACCACAUAUUUUAUGCUUAGUUUGUAGAUUUGCAAGGUUUACCAAAAUCCCGGUAUAGACUAUUAGAGGUCUAUUGGGAGAGUAAUUGUUUACUCUUAUGCUAGUUGGUCCACUAGUGCGAGGAAUUCUACAAGUGAGUGGAUAUUCAUUUUGGAUGGUAGUGUAAUUAUAUCGACUUCUAAGAAGCAAACCGUAACCGCUCAUUUCAUCAUAUAAGUUGAAGUCAUAACUUUGGUUACUGGCUGCAUAAAAAGGUGAAAUAGUUUAGGAUUUGUUAUUUAUUGACCAGCUAUGGUCAUAACCUAUGCCUCCAACGUCUUUAUACUGUGGCAGUGUAACUACAAUGUCUAAAGUUUUGAACUAUGUGUAUAAUGUUAAAUUUAGACAUAUUAAUCUAAAAAGUAAGUAUUUUAGACAAAUGUCAAAAGGAUGGCAUUGGCAUUAGUGGUGGAGCCAAGAUCCGAGAGUAGGUAAGGUCAAAGUUUAAUACAAUAAAACUUCUACAAAGUAAAAAGUGUAAUAUAAAAAGAACAAAAAAAAAGAGUAAAUAUUUCCUACACUGACGGUGUAUACACUAUUAUUGUUAGAUUCAUGACAUAUGUGCAAAAGUUGAAUUUCAAAUUCAAAUUUUGUAUAGUUGUCAUUCAUCCAACGCUGAUGAUGUAUACACUAUCAGUAUAGGAAAUAUUAAUCCAAAAAAAAAAAGCAAAACUAUAAUAUUAGAUAUGUAUUAUAAUUGUCCUCUAUGAGUACUCAACUUCUGAAAAUAUUGCAAAAUCAGCUCAUUGUCAAUUUUAUUAAAUAUAUAUUUUUUAAUGUAAGUAACGAAACAAUCAUUCAUCCAUCAAUCACCAUAAGACAUGCAAUCGAUUUUUGACAAUCUUCACUGCUAAAAAGGUCAUUUCCACGGCUGCUGUAGUAAUAGGUAAAGUAACUACUAAUUUUAUAAGUAAAUAGACUGAUGAAUAUACAAUAUCCCUUUUAGUCUUAACUUACUCUACUGUAAGGCUAGCAAUUCCUUUUAAUUCUGCAAAUUCAUUGAUAGGGUGCAUAUCAAGGAUAUAAGUAUCAAUCUGAUUGUCAUGAACCAUCAGAUCAAUUGAAAAAAAAAAAACUCAAAUGGAUAGAAUUUUGCAAAGUGAAUCAACUUUUCCUUGUCAAAAGAUGAGAAAUCAUCAUUUGGAGCAGGAUAUUACAUACAAAUAAGCAAUUCAGCAUUUGCCUUAGUCAAACCCUCAUUCAACUCGUGAAACCACACUAUAAAAUAAAUCUACUUUACAGUGGUGUAAGUGUGAAAUAUUUGGAAUUUUUCGCUUUGACUUUCCUUUAAGAACAUAUAUAGCAUCCAUAUUGGGAACCUCAACUUCAUAUUCGAUGCAAAAUGCAGUAACCUCAUCUAACAAUAUAUCCCAUCCAACAUCUUUCAUUAAUUGCAAUCGCUAUAUAGCAAUUUUAACUAGACUCAUUGCAUUCAAAAUAUCUGAUCUUUUCUAUGCAAUGCUAAAGAUAGCUUAUCUGUUAUCCCCAACAAAUUUUUGCAUGUCAUUUGUGAACUUCAAGCGUCUUAGCUAAUCUCUUGUAUCUGUUAUCCCCAACAAAUUUUUGCAUGUCAUUUGUGAACUUCAAGCGUCUUAGCUAAUCUCUUGUAUCUGUUAUUCCCAACAAAUUUUUGCAUGUCAUUUGUGAACUUCAAGCGUCUUAGCUAAUCUCUUGCAUGUCAUCUUUUUGGAAUAAGACUUCAAAAUUAGGGAUAGGAAUCUGUCUCAAGUUGCAAUAGCCUACCCAUGUCCAAAGAGAUUUUUGGUGGGAUGCAUAUUCUAAUUUUGAUGUUCGGUUUGAAAUGGGAUUAAUCCCAUUUAUGCCCAUCAAUUGAUAGAAAUUCUUGGAAAAUACUGGGGUGCCCAUUGGGGUCUAAACAUCUCACCAAAAAUUUAAUUCACCCAAGAACUCCUCUCUCCCAAACAAAUAUACUUUGUUGUUGUUACUAAAAAUUGGAGAAUAAAGCAGGUCAUGUGGUUAGAAAUUCUUUUGUCCUCAAAUUCUGUUCUCCUUUCUCUUCUAUAUUGCAACGAAAAGAUUAAGAUAGUAAUUCCAGAUUAAAUUUUAAAUUAGACCAUCUAGUUAUCUGGGUAAAAUGAUUCUAAAAUUUGUUGGCCGUUAAGUGAAAUAAAAUAUAGGAAACUGUGUUAUUUUUUACUUGUUGAAACUAAAGCAUUUAGGUUGAUGUGCCUCUGAUAUAUAUAUAUAUAUAUAUAUAUAUAUAUAUAUAUAUAUAUAUAUAUAUAUAUAUAUGAAAAGUUUUAAUGCAAUGAAACUUUCAUCUUUGCACCUUAUUGUUGGGCUACAACUAAUUUCACUAGCUAUGUGAAAAGUUUUAAUAUGACUAAACUUUCAUCCUUGCACCUUAUUGUUGUGCUUCAACUAAUUUCACUAGUUAUGCUUUUCCACAAGCUCUAGUAGUAUAAGUACAAGUCCAUACAGUGGCAUUUCUUUAUAAUCAUAAAUAUAAAUCUUUUAAAGUUUUUAGAGGACUUAUUUUUUCCUCAACUAAAAUUUAGCAACAGUGGAAAUCUGAGAUUAAAAUGUAUAUAUACAUAGAAAAAAAAAAUUUGAGUAACAAAAGGAAUUCAGAAAAAUAUAAAUUCAUAGUAGGAACAAAAGAAAUUUAAUAAAUAAAAAAUAUUAAAGUUAUAUAAAAAUAAAAAAAUAAUUUAAAAAAAGAAGAAUAAAAAAUAGAUUUUGGAUAUUGAGCGGAAUCAAUCUAAACCCAUUUCAAAGUGAUCUUACCCAAAUUAGUCCCAAAACACAUAUCAAAGUGAUCUUACCCAAAUUAGUCCCAAAACACAUAUAGAUAAGGUUAGGUCUAAAUUCAUAUUAUUCGAUCUCAUUUCAAAUCCAAGCAGAUCCCGCUCAUCCCACUCAUUUUGCCACCUCUAUUUGAAAGGAACAGUGAACAAUUUUCAUUUCAUUUUUAUCGGAUUGUAUUAAAAAUGUACAACAAAAGUCACCGAGUGUUCGUUUUACUAUUUGAAAUCUAAUCAUUCAGGGAUAUACACAAUAAUUAUAUAUAUGUGAGAACCCGUAAUUUUCAUUUUCUAGGUUUUAGAAUUUUUCAUGAUUUGUUUUCUGCAUUUUCGUGAUUAGAAAAUUUUUCUAGAUAAUUUUAAGGAGUAGAUAUAAUUUUUAGAUGAUUUUUCUAGUAUCGAAUGGAUUUUGAGAAAUUAAGAGCAGAUACCGGACGUGGGACCCACUAGUGCGAAAAGUUCGAAUAACUUCGGUCGACUAGAUUAAGUUUUGGAUACUGGAAUUAUAUUUAUCGGGUGUUAAGAGAUAAGUAGAGAGUGCUAAGUGGAUUAAUAUAAGGGAGACAAGGUAGUUGAGCAUUUAAUAAAAGGUGACAAGUGUCACCAUUUGAUUGGGCUUACUUUAAGACUUUCUUACCAUUGACUUAAAUAACCAAAAAUGACCCAAAAAUCAUCAAAAAUCCUCCAAGGGUGGCCGACUUUCUUGAAGCUCAAAGGAAAGAAAACUCUUCACAAUUUUGGUCUCCAAUCUUGCUCAAUCUCUCAAAUCAACCGAUUAAUCUUCCAAUUGUUCCAUAAAACUCCUCCACUUAGUGAUUUUGAGGUGAUUGGUGAAGUUAUUUGGAAAGUUAAGGUGGUCCAUAGCUCUCUCUCUCUUGUUUUAAAGGUAAGUUAUGAAGAACCACCCUCCUCCUUUAAUUGAUGCUCAAAUCAUGCUUAGUGGAAGUAGAAGAUGCAAGUUUAUGGAUUAAUUCUUGAUUUGUGGUUGAAAUGAUGACUUUUUAUUAUUUUUGGGGAUUUUUAUGUUUUAUUAUAAGCAUGAUGGUGUGGCUAUCUAUGAUGAUUGGAUAUGGUUUAUAAUGAGUAUAGGAGGUGGGAAAAGUGAUUAAUUGCAACUAAUUUCGGUUUUGGAAGAAAAUUGGAAAAUCUAGGGUUCUUAAGGGUGCAUUCUGUCCGAAUUUUUAGGUCAUAGAUAGAGGCCGAAUUGGCCUUAACUCAAAACAUGAAAGUUGUAGGGAAUACCAUUUUAGAGGUACCUACAAAAUUUCAGGUCAAUCAGAGUUGUGUGGAAUGAGAUAAGUCGAAAUUACUAUUGCUGUUCUGGUUUACCCGACAUUGGGAUUUGCGACUGUAAUUGGUUUUUUUGACUGGAAUUGCUUCCGAAUUGGGUGUUGAGGCCUUCUGAUGAAAUUUAUCCCUAUUUCGUAGCUUUCAGCUGGUUUUGGAAUUUCUGGAUUUGGACUUGUAGAGCCUGAGUUAUGAUAUUUCCGCUAGAAUGCGUUUUGGUGAAUCUGUUUUACGAUUUUGAUGUAGUAUCUUGUAUUUUUGACCUGUUUACACUCAAAACUGGGUUGAGUGACCUUCUGUGAUGUUGUAGCCCUGUCUUUUAGCUUCGAGAUGGUGGGUCUUGCACCCUCAUCCGAUAAGCGUAGUGAAAUUGGUGCCAUUACCGCAAAAUGACGUCAAAACUGUUUUUUUUUGGGACCAAAGUGAAUUGCAUUUCUGAAAUUUCUGGUUUCCUCUAUUGUUUGUAAAUGUUAUGGAACCUUAUUGGGGUCAUGUUUGGCCUUGGUUUAUGACUCGUUAUCGAGUCUCAUUGUAUUUGUUUACAUGUUUUUAGGGCGUGACCGUGGUGCCCAACGUUCUUUUGACUAAAGUGCUUGAAACCACAUUUGCUAGCGUGGUGAGUUUACUACUCACUUGUGUGCUAUUAUAUGGCUUUGCUACUUGAACUUGGUGCUUGGAAUGUUAAUUGCUUGAAGUGAAAGUGUACUUUAUCACUCUCACUUAUUGUUUCGCAUGUUAUUGAAAAGUUAUUGGAAUGUUAUAUGAAAUGUUAUAUGAAAUGAAAUACAAAUGUUAUCAAUGUUAUCAAUGACUUCAAAUAUUAUCCAUGAGCUCAAUCCCAUUGGAAAUUGAUUGAAUCGAGCCGGCGAGGGAUUGGUCGUGCCAAUUAAUGUACCUUGGGCAACGUUAUAUGGAAUCUUGUAGUAUGAGAGACUCUUGAUUCCGGUUUACUCGAGUAAUAUCACAAUGCAUGCGUUUGGAUUUCGGGCGAGGAAUGUUAGGAGGAAGGGAAUGGAAGUUAAGUGAAGUCUACGGUUGGUUACUUUCAAACAUUGACGGAGAGUCAAUGAGAUCCGAUCAAGAAUGCAAACGAGGAAAAGGGCUCUUGAGAGCCACCCGUAUCCUUUCAUCCUCAUUAUUAAUGUGUGGCUUUACUUAUUUUUGGUCAAUUGAACUGUUCAACUUGAUGCAUCUAUGAACUUGGUGGCUUGAGUUGUAUUCUCACUGGGCAAUUAGCUCACCCCGUUCCUUUUGUUUUCCUUACAGGAUUAUGACUCUUUUGGAAUGAAUUUUGAUAAAUGGUUGCCGAAUGAACUAGAUGCAUGUCUCUUUUGUAUUGUAUAUAAAAUGGGACCCUAAAUGUAUCAUUAGGGCCGUUUUCACUUUUGUUUUGGCAAACCACAUAUGUAGUGACUUUUGUAUCACUUUUACAUGCCAUUUUGGCUUGUAAAUGCUAAAUGUUAUGUUGUAUAUGUAUUUCGAUGUUUGGUUAGGUUCGGACGGGUCGGUUACUAUGCAUGGCCGACUCCGGAUUUUGUUUCUUUUAUUUUGGGUUUUUGCCCUUUUGCCUUGUUUUCACGCGUUAUAAGUUCCGGAACGUGAUAGCUCGCUCUAUACUGCACCGUUAGUCCUGGCGAGAGCUGGGCAGGCAGUCCGCUAACCUCUUUGGUUCGCCUUAGGGGAAGGUGGGGCUGUCACAGGUGGUAUCAGAGCCACUUCGCGUGGUCUCUGCGCGGAGUGAGCCUAGGGCCAAGUGGUGUUAUGGUCCUGAUUUCAUGAAUAUGUCUAAGUGCUCUUUUGAGCAUAAGUUAUGAAUUGGGCAUGUCAUAAGUGUAAAAAUUUUUAUCAUGAAACUUGAGGAAGAUAGAUAUGUAUGUCGGGUAGGAAUCUUUAGUAUGGAUGAUUUACGCUUGGGACCGGCCGGCUCGAGUUGUGAAUUAUCUUAAAUGGGAUUCUUGCGCCCGGAUACGAAAGAGACGAGAGUCUAGGUUAGAAAGAAUUGGGCGAACUAGAAAUUGUGAUUUUGUAUGUACCUGACUGACUGUUCUGUAUACUUGUUGAUACUGUUAUGUGUUCUCUGUAUAUGUGUUAUGUGUUUAAAUGCUCUACGAGGGAGUGGAGUAGUUAAUUGUUCUUGUUUACUUGUUCCUGUUUAGUGCUGCGAGAAGGAGGGGUUAGGUGCCCUUUAACAGUAUACUUAUUUUGUGACCUAGAUCGACUUAGAUUGUAUGGAAGGCACACGUAGUGGACGGGGGCGUGGGCGCGGGAAUAGGCAAGCUACGCCAGACCGGGGUGCUGGGGAAACCUCCUCUGGACCCCAUCUUGAACCGAGAGUCGAUCCCAGUGUACAGAUAGCUGCUGCUAUGCAGCAAAUGACAAACUUGCUGGCACAAGUGGUGCAGCAACAAGGCCAGAAUCCAAAUCCUAAUCCAGGGAACCCUGGAAACCCUGGCAAUCAUGUUGAGAGCGAAGACAGAGCUCUGGAACGAUUUCAAAAGUUUGCCCCACCCAAGUUCAUUGGGGGACCCGAUCCGGAUGUUGCUGAAAGGUGGCUCGAAAAGAUGGUCGAUAUUUUCGCCGCCCUGCACUAUACAGAAGAACGGCAGGUGACUUUUGCCGUUUUCCAGCUGGAAGAGGCGGCCCGCUCCUGGUGGAAUGUCAUUCGGCAAAAAUGGGAGCGGGAACAAACGCCCAAGACUUGGGUAAAUUUUAUGAGGGAGUUUAACGCGAAAUUCUUCCCUCCUCUGGUUCAGGAAAGGAAGGAAGAUGAGUUCAUCCGACUCCGCCAAGGAGCUCAAUCGGUGGCGGAAUACGAGAGCCAGUUCACCCGCCUGUCCAAAUUUGCGCCUGAGUUGAUUGUGACGGAGCAACGGCGAAUUAGGCGUUUUAUCCAGGGCCUAAACGUGGAGAUUCAGAAGGACCUCGCAGUGGCUCAAAUCAAUGCUUUUAGUGAGGCCGUUGAGAAGGCCCAACGGGUAGAGAGUGCCAGAUUGCAAGUAAGAAAUUUCCAGGCGAAAAAGCGAGGAUUUCCUGGAAAUAGUUCGGGGCAGGGGGAUGAAAGUACCCCUUCCAAGUUUGGGCGAGGAAAUGGAGAAGAAAGGGUACCGGGAGUGUCACGAGAGAGCCCGUCACGAGGCGGCCAUUUGGGGAGAGGCCAGAGAGGAGGCUCGGCUUCUGCAGCACGCGGACCUUGCGGGUACUGCGGAAAGUCGAAUCAUUCUGAAGACAAUUGCUGGAAGAAGGGAGGCAAAUGUCUGCGUUGUGGAAGCGCAGACCACAAGCUUGCUACCUGCCUACUUAUGACGCAAGAAGGAAGGGGAGCUCAAACUACGUCAAAGACCAACACGGGACCGGAUAAGGGGAAUGGGACGAAAUCUAAGGUAGCAGCUCGAGUGUAUUCACUGGAGCCACAACAGGUCCCCGAUUCUCCUGAGAUUGAGGAAGGUAUGAUUGCGGUAUUUCUGCGGACAUAUUAGUAGAUCCCGGUGUUACUCAUCCAUUUGUCAAUCCCAAUUUUGAUGGACGAAAUAGAUACCACGCCUGCUUGUCUACCCUACGACCUGAAAGUAGUAUUCCUUUGGGGAAAUCAUCGUUUGAGCCUUGGUAUGGUUUGUAAGGAUCGCAGAGUUUGGGUAGGAGAGAGAAUAGUGUUCGCGAAAAAAAAAAAAUCAUGGGAUAGAAAAGACUACUUGGGAGGUGAAAAAGGAAUACCCUGAGCUGUUUGUGAACCAAGGUGAGAAAUUUCGAGGGCGAAAUUCUUUUAAGGGGGAGAGAGUGUGAGAACCCGUAAUUUUCAUUUUCUAGGUUUUAGAAUUUUUCAUGAUUUGUUUUCUGCAUUUUCGUGAUUAGAAAAUUUUUCUAGAUAAUUUUAAGGAGUAGAUAUAAUUUUUAGAUGAUUUUUCUAGUAUCGAAUGGAUUUUGAGAAAUUAAGAGCAGAUACCGGACGUGGGACCCACUAGUGCGAAAAGUUCGAAUAAAUUCGGUCGACUAGAUUAAGUUUUGGAUACUGGAAUUAUAUUUAUCGGGUGUUAAGAGAUAAGUAGAGAGUGCUAAGUGGAUUAAUAUAAGGGAGACAAGGUAGUUGAGCAUUUAAUAAAAGGUGACAAGUGUCACCAUUUGAUUGGGCUUACUUUAAGACUUUCUUACCAUUGACUUAAAUAACCAAAAAUGACCCAAAAAUCAUCAAAAAUCCUCCAAGGGUGGCCGACUUUCUUGAAGCUCAAAGGAAAGAAAACUCUUCACAAUUUUGGUCUCCAAUCUUGCUCAAUCUCUCAAAUCAACCGAUUAAUCUUCCAAUUGUUCCAUAAAACUCCUCCACUUAGUGAUUUUGAGGUGAUUGGUGAAGUUAUUUGGAAAGUUAAGGUGGUCCAUAGCUCUCUCUCUCUUGUUUUAAAGGUAAGUUAUGAAGAACCACCCUCCUCCUUUAAUUGAUGCUCAAAUCAUGCUUAGUGGAAGUAGAAGAUGCAAGUUUAUGGAUUAAUUCUUGAUUUGUGGUUGAAAUGAUGACUUUUUAUUAUUUUUGGGGAUUUUUAUGUUUUAUUAUAAGCAUGAUGGUGUGGCUAUCUAUGAUGAUUGGAUAUGGUUUAUAAUGAGUAUAGGAGGUGGGAAAAGUGAUUAAUUGCAACUAAUUUCGGUUUUGGAAGAAAAUUGGAAAAUCUAGGGUUCUUAAGGGUGCAUUCUGUCCGAAUUUUUAGGUCAUAGAUAGAGGCCGAAUUAGCCUUAAAUCAAAACAUGAAAGUUGUAGGGAAUGCCAUUUUAGAGGUGCCUACAAAAUUUCAGGUCAAUCAGAGUUGUGUGGAAUGAGAUAAGUCGAAAUUACUAUUGCUGUUCUGGUUUACCCGACAUUGGGAUUUGCGACUGUAAUUGGUUGUUUUGACUGGAAUUGCUUCCGAAUUGGGUGUUGAGGCCUUCUGAUGAAAUUUAUCCCUAUUUCGUAGCUUUCAGCUGGUUUUGGAAUUUCUGGAUUUGGACUUGUAGAGCCUGAGUUAUGAUAUUUCCGCUAGAAUGCGUUUUGGUGAAUCUGUUUUACGAUUUUGAUGUAGUAUCUUGUAUUUUUGACCUGUUUACACUCAAAACUGGGUUGAGUGACCUUCUGUGAUGUUGUAGCCCUGUCUUUUAGCUUCGAGAUGGCGGGUCUUGCACCCUCAUCCGAUAAGCGUAGUGAAAUUGGUGCCAUUACUGCAAAAUGACGUCAAAACUGUUUUUUUUUGGGACCAAAGUGAAUUGCAUUUCUGAAAUUUCUGGUUUCCUCUAUUGUUUGUAAAUGUUAUGGAACCUUAUUGGGGUCAUGUUUGGCCUUGGUUUAUGACUCGUUAUCGAGUCUCAUUGUAUUUGUUUACAUGUUUUUAGGGCGUAACCGUGGUGCCCAACGUUCUUUUGACUAAAGUGCUUGAAACCACAUUUGCUAGCGUGGUGAGUUUACUACUCACUUGUGUGCUAUUAUAUGGCUUUGCUACUUGAACUUGGUGCUUGGAAUGUUAAUUGCUUGAAGUGAAAGUGUACUUUAUCACUCUCACUUAUUGUUUCGCAUGUUAUUGAAAAGUUAUUGGAAUGUUAUAUGAAAUGUUAUAUGAAAUGAAAUACAAAUGUUAUCAAUGUUAUCAAUGACUUCAAAUAUUAUCCAUGAGCUCAAUCCCAUUGGAAAUUGAUUGAAUCGAGCCGGCGAGGGCUUGGUCGUGCCAAUUAAUGUACCUUGGGCAACGUUAUAUGGAAUCUUGUAGUAUGAGAGACUCUUGAUUCCGGUUUACUCGAGUAAUACCACAAUGCAUGCGUUUGGAUUUCGGGCCCGGUUGAGGAAUGUUAGGAGGAAGGGAAUGGAAGUUAAGUGAAGUCUACGGUUGGUUACUUUCAAACAUUGACGGAGAGUCAAUGAGAUCCGAUCAAGAAUGCAAACGAGGAAAAGGGCUCUUGAGAGCCACCCGUAUCCUUUCAUCCUCAUUAUUAAUGUGUGGCUUUACUUAUUUUUGGUCAAUUGAACUGUUCAACUUGAUGCAUCUAUGAACUUGGUGGCUUGAGUUGUAUUCUCACUGGGCAAUUAGCUCACCCCGUUCCUUUUGUUUUCCUUACAGGAUUAUGACUCUUUUGGAAUGAAUUUUGAUAAAUGGUUGCCGAAUGAACUAGAUGAAUGUCUCUUUUGUAUUGUAUAUAAAAUGGGACCCUAAAUGUAUCAUUAGGGCCGUUUUCACUUUUGUUUUGGCAAACCACAUAUGUAGUGACUUUUGUAUCACUUUUAAAUGCCAUUUUGGCUUGUAAAUGCUAAAUGUUAUGUUGUAUAUGUAUUUCGAUGUUUGGUUAGGUUCGGACGGGUCGGUUACUAUUCAUGGCCGACUCCGGAUUUUGUUUCUUUUAUUUUGGGUUUUUGCUCUUUUGCCUUGUUUUCACGCGUUAUAAGUUCCGGAACGUGAUAGAUCGCUCUAUACUGCACCGUUAGUCCUGGCGAGAGUUGGGCAGGCAGUCCGCUAACCUCUUUGGUUCGCCUUAGGGGAAGGUGGGGCUGUCACAAUAUACAUGUCAAAUGUGUACGUUAAUUAAAGUCCCAUGCAGUAUAUUUAAAACUCAAAAUGCGUGGCAACUUGCAAUGUGCCCGAUCACUUGGAUGUACAAAGUCCAAUAAACCCGGUAGCUUUUGCUUUAGAAACUCGAUUGUGGAUGACUGCUUUCUGUUAAAGGCCGUGUAAAAUCAACUAGCUAUAGGGCUCUUUUGCUCAGCGUAUGACAAUUUCAACCUUUAGAUGAUAUAUAAUUGAACGUUUUGGGCACUCGAAAAUGUAGUAACUGGCCAAUGCUUUCCAUAGCAAUCCCAAUAGCAAAAGAUAAAGUGGAAAAAAGUUUAAAAAGGAAAAAAGGUGUUUGUUUGGGUUCAGCGUGGUUCUGUUGUCUUAUUUAAUUGUGUAAACGAUGCCUUAAGAUUGAGUAAGUAAUGUUUCAGACAUUUCGAGGCUUUCACCUUAAAUUGAUGUGCCAACCCAUGGGCGAUCUUCCAGCAUUGCUGGUACCUGCUACAAGGCUCGCUAGCAGAUAAAUAUUUCAGUUUCAGGUUACUACCAAAAUUCAAUCAUAUAUAAAAAUUUGCAACAGAGAGCGAAACCGAUAAUGUGAGCAUAUGUUCUCACUUAUUGAUUCCCCAGUUUACUAAAACAAUAGGAUCAAUUUCUCCAGAACUGCAUGCUUGGAACGGUGAAGGGUUGUUUUGUGGUUUUUUUUUUCUUGGGUGGGGUGGGGGGGGGGGCGAGGAGGGUGUGCGUGGAGGGGACCCUAGCUAGCUGAAGAAUCUAACUGGAGAGUAUUACAAUGACAACCAAUUCAGGAGGGUGUCAAAUUGGGAUAAAAUGGGAUUCCAGUAUUAGGCAGCCAUGCAGUUCCCUGGAUGAAAUUCCCAACCGUAAACUGACUGGCAACGGUGGUAUUGGUGAUGACCCUGUAACCAGGCCAUUUUACUCUGGCAGUGGUGUUUGAACCGGGUCCUCUAUUCUUAUACUCCCCAUAGAAAAGGGUUGACAAUGCAAAACUACCGUUCCACGGCAACCAUCCAGCAGGGUCUAUCAAGCUUUCCAUGUUUGACAGAAGGUAAACAGUUCUUGAAUAUUCUUUCCACGGACGACCAAGAUAGCUUCUAAAUGAGGAUAGGACGGGAAGCAAAUCUGCCGCUGCAGCAACUUUGCAGUUCAAGAUCGAAAUCCCAGUAUUUUGGUUAGGAUCCUCUCUUCCUUGGGCAGUGAAUAAGUUUUGCUGGUUUGGGUUUGGUCUCCGGGCAUAAAGGUUGCAAAGUUGGAACACAACAGCGGCAUUCCCGAAGAUGAAGUCGACUGUACCAUACACAUCGCAUUCCCUAUAAAAUUGUCGAAGGGAAUGCACGUAGAGCGUGUCCUGGUAGCCGAUGAAGCUGCAUUGGUAGAAUGCUGAGAGAUCUGAGCCACUCCUCAGGGCCACUGCUUGGUGUUGGCUAGGUCCAGCGUAGUUUUCAAUGGUGAUCCCUCUGGCAAUGAAUCCAUCUCCCACCACAGCUGCAAAUUUUCAGAUAAGCAGAUCAGUGAAUUGUUCGGUAAAAUUGCUGAUGAGACCUUGGCUUGAUAAUGUGGACUAGUUCACAAGGUGGAAGUCCCAGAUGUCUCCAAAUUUAACAUAAGGGAAGUUAAGGGACAUGGACAUCGAGGAGGCGAACAUCUAUAGUACACGCACAACCUUUGGCCACUGUUUGAUCUGUAGGUCACUGUAUAUCUCCUGAACUCAUUCCAAUAUGAGAUUCCCAGAGCUUGAGUUGGAGUUGCCUCAAGAAAAGAACAAAUACUCUUCGAGUUACUUAAUUCAAGAGGAUCCCAACAUGAGAAGUCUAAGUAAAUGGGAUAUCCACGUGCAACUAAGGGCGGGGACUGCUGUCAUAAUUAAGUUGGUUUUCCCACUAAGGCAAAAAAUUUAGGAUUUGCAUGGAUUAUGUUUUUACAAGUAUAUAUUAAAAACUUUCACAGAAGAUAUAUAUUGGAAAUAUUCUUACAACUUAAAAUUUGAUUGGUAUAUUUUUGAGAUUUUUUUCUUCCCUACCACAACCAUCUAUCGCCCUCUCUCCACCCCCUCCCAAGCCACCACCAGCAAGCAAUGCCGCUGCUUAAGAUAGAUGAUAGAGUUGGUAGCGGGGAAGGAGGAGAGGAGAGAUAAUAGUAGUAGUGGGUGGAGAGAGAAAGAGGUGGUAGAAUUUUUAUUUUUUAUUUUAGAUUAUAUUUGAAGUGCUUUUUGAAGUGUGCUACUAUAACAUAUUAUUGUAUGUGAAAAACUCCUAAUUUAAACAGACUCUCAAACCUCAAGUCUAAGGUUCUAUUGAAGCCACUGAUACGUGGAAGAUAAAUCAUUGUUAGAUCUCUUUUAUAAAAUUCUAUGUAUAAUUUCUGAUGAACAAGGUAAAAAGUUUGUAAUUGAUGUGGAAAGGUUACACCCUCCUACUUCAAGAUGGGAACUAUAGAAACAAGGUUGUAUGUUUUCAAUGAAGACAUGGACAUUAAUGGCACCGUAACAAUGGAAGGUGCAUUAGAAAAAGUUACAAAAUACUUGUGCGACCUAAAAUUUAGUAAAGUGGUGAAAGAGAAAGUAAGGAAGGUGGAAGACAAAUUAUUAAAAAAAUAAAAGAGAAAGAAAACAAUAGCAUUAUUAUGAUUACAAGAUUAUGACACAUUUGUGCCUCAUAUUUUAAAUCAUUAUCUUGUGAUAAGACAACAUUACUAUGCUUUUUUAAAAGCAUAUAUCAUGAUGGUUAACCUAAUGGUCAGGGGAUGGAUUUUAGAAAUCUCCAUUGAAUUCUGUGUCUCACAAUUGGAAGUGGAAACAGAAAUGAGAGACAUAGAACCCAAAAAAAAAAGCCAAGAAAACAAGGGAGGCUAGACUAGCUCCAAGAAACUAUCCGGGUUUGACGCUCAUGAGAUUCUACUAGACGCAUUUUGCGACAAAUCGGCCCUACUUCUGCAGUUCUACUUUAAACACAUUUUGAAAAUUAAGAAAAUUGACAUUUGAAAUUUGAAAAUACCCUCAGAGUAUCUGAGGGUCCAUGUUUGAAGCACACAGAACCCCAGAUCCAGCUCUUUAGGCUAGAGUGACUGGCGCCGGUAAUCCUCGGAGAUGCCACAAAAGGAUGCCCAAACAAGAAAAUAAGAAAGCAUAAAAGGGCCCCUUCCUACAACAACUAUAGCUCGUUUGUCGAAAGAGAAAUUGAGAGAAAAGGAAGCGUUUGGUAGAGAAAGUGUGUGUGUGUGUGUGUUUUUUCUUUUUUUGUUAAAUGAAGAAAGAAAGAAAACAAAAAAGUGGAUGAUUUGGGAUGAUUGUAACUUAAAAUUUCUCUCCAAAGUUGGAGAGCAGAUGGAGAGAAACAUCAACUAACACUGGAAAAAGAUGUGCAAAUACUUAUUCAAGGCUAAGGACAAAAUUUAAUAGACGAAAGUCACAAUAUUUCUUUUUUAAUAUCUAAACUCCCAAACAGGAGAGGAGAAAAGUCUUUCCAACUUCUCCACCCCUCUUCCCCCCCCCCCCCCCCCACCAAAAAACCUAACUUACCAUUUCUUUUCUUUACUUUCUAACUCCUAAUGAAAAGACUGCAGAGUCUAAUACUAUCUCAUAUGAUCUUCAGAAGGAAUCGAACCAAUGUUUCUAUGCCACUUCAAGGUGAGUUAAAAAUUGAACUGAUAGAAUUCGUUAAACGAUAUAACAACUCUACCCAGUUCAAAUCUUACGUUUCAUUUUUGUCACCACAAAUCAAGAGUGACGCAACAAGUAACUCCUCAAAAAAGUACACUAUUUUCCUUCCCGUUAAAAAACAGAAUCAUUUGUUUGAUGUAGGGAUGUCAAGCGGGUUUUUUGAGUCGGGUUUCAAUAAGGUCAAACUUGACUUACAAGUUAUAUGAAUUUUUAGGUUUGGGCUCAUUUUAAAAUGAUUCAAAUUCAACUCGCAUUAUUAUAUGAGUUUCGGAUUUAAAUCGACUUUGGCCCAAACUCAUAAUUAAAUGGGUAAUAUACCAAAAAACUCCCUAUAAUUUGUCAAAUGUAUAAUUUAACUCCCUCUAAUUUGAAAACCACACUAUAAUUUCCUAUGGUUUCAAUUCAAUUGAAAUUGAACAGAAAGCAUUUAAUCUAACGGUUUUAUGUGAAAUGUCAAUAUUGCCCUUAUAUAAAUGAACUCCUUAUAAUUUGUUGAAUGUUCAAUUUAACUUCCUUUAGUUUAAAAAACUGCACUAUAACUCCUUGUGGUUUUGACUAAGUUGAAAAUUGAACGGAAAGCACUUCAUGUAUAGCAAGGGCAAUAUUGAUAUUUCACAUACAAUCGUUAAAUUGGAUGUUUUCUGUCUAAUUUUUAAUUUAGUCGAAACUACAGGGAGUUAUAGUGUAGGUUUCCGAACCAGAGUGAGUUAAAUUGAACAUUUGACAAACCACAGGGAGUUUUUUGUAUUUUAUCCUAAUUAAAUACAUAAUUAUAUAUAAUAUAUUUUAUAAUUAUGAAUUAAUAUAAAUUUACAUAUAAAUUAUUAACAUUUUAUAUCAUAACAUGUACUAAUAUUCAAGGCAUACACUAAUGUGUGUGCAACUAAUAAAAAUAUUUGUGAAAUUUUUGAGUAUAUUUAUUGAAAUCAUUUUCAAAAAAAUUGGUACAUAUGUAAAUUUUCACUAAAAUAAAAGUUAUACAAAGUAGUUAUUUGGUAGUUAUUCAUAACCAUAAUUGAUAGUUGCUAAUUAAAAUUAAGAUUUACUAAAUGAGUUGAAAAAUAGAACAUGAAAAUAUACGUAGUACUUGGUAAAAAAUCAUAUUGGUAGAAAGUAGUUAUCAAAGAUAGAUAUAUUUUGAUUUAUACCAAAAGUUCCUUCAUCAUUAAGGGUAGUUUAGGGAGUAUAUAAUAAAGUAACAUUUUUAUUUACCACAAACCCCCUCCUCUCCCUUUAUGAAUAGAUAUUGUUAUAUAUGUUUUACAUAUAUAACAAUAUACUCAUAUAUGUGUUAGACUUUAAUCGGAUUUGAUCCUAGUAUAAUUUAAACUUGACUCAUAUUUAGUUGAAACCUAAUAUUUAAAUCCAAACUCUAUUGAUCCAACUAAAGUUGAGGUUCAAUGAACAUUUUUGCGCCUAACAGGCAGAGCUCGAACUGGCCGACUCCAUUGACAGUUAUGGUUUGAUGUGCAUGAUUGCAUGGUCCCAUGGCUUUUACUGAACGACUUUUCCUUUUGGUACACCAAAUAAGGAAUGAAUAAAAUUUGGGCGGGCAUGGUUAAUGCAAAUUUUUAUGGUUUUUAUUCUUAGUACAAUGCUUUUUAUUUUGUGGGAUUCUUAGUAUAAUGUUUAUUUUAAUGUUUUGGUAGUCAUGGUAAUCAAAGUGGUACGGGUCGAUGAUGUAAUAUUUAUAUGAUACAUUUUUGGUUCUAUUAAAACUGUCAUAUUUUCUAUUUCUAUUUUGAUCUAUCCUAAAAUUAUUAUUGUUGUUUACCUUGAAUGAUAAAUAUUAUCUUGUCUACUUUUCACAUUUGCCCUUCAACAUGUUGAGAAAAGCUUGUGAGACCCAUAGUGCCAUGCUUAACUUUUUUACAAAGAAUUUUGAAGAAAGUGGACGUGACAUUAUUGGCAUCCAAGAGAACAAUUUGAGAGUCACUGCAAGACUUGACCCCACAGCCCACAUGUUUCUUUUCUUAUUUCCACCAAUGAAGCUACAGCCAACGCGGAGGGAUAGUAUCAGAAAGCUCGGUGGAGGUCUCUGUUAAUAUCACCCAACACUUUUAAAGUUUUAAAAAUAUCACUUACUUCUUUUAAUAAUUAUAAAAAAAAUAUAUUAACUUUUACUUAAUACAUAAUUCACAUAUUAAAUAAAUAAAUAAAUUUUAAAAAAAUUAAAAAAAAAAAGAAACAAAAAUCACUUUUUUUUCUUUCCCUUUUUUCCAACAUUCUCUCUUACUCAUUUUUUUGAAUGACUACGCAAUUUUUUAUUUAUAAAUUAUAUUUAAUUGAAGUUUAUUUAUUUUUACUAUUUGUGAUUGUGAUAGAGUAGGAUGUGAUUUAUUUGUCCAUUUUGAGUUGAUUUUUGUAAUGAUUAGUAGUACAACUUAAAGGCUUGGACUAGAGGUUGAUAAGAAGUUGGGAAAAAAUAUAAGUUUCAUAAGAAGUCAAUCUUAAAGACAUAAAAUUAAAUUAGUGCUAGUGUAUUUAUUUAGAAAUAUCUUUUUAUUUUUCAAAUUUAUAUUUUUAUGAAGCAUGACUUUGUGACGUGGUGAUACUAUUAGAGAUGGCUUUUUAGGUGGUGAUUUUUGGAGUAAAUAAAGUAUUUUAGGAGUAUUUUUAUUUAACAAAAUAAGAAAAAGAGUAGUUUAGGGUUUUCAAAAUUUUGUUAUACAAAUAAGAAAAGUAAGGAAGGUAAAUGAUAAUUUUAAAAUCUAAGAGGUCCUAGAUGAUAAAACAAGUGCUUUCCAAUAUUUUAAAAGAAAUCUCAAGGGAGGUUCCAAUACUGUCCCAAAAGGAAACUAAAACAAAAUAAGUGCUUUCCAUACUACUGUUGAAAAAAAAAGCACAACCUCCAAAGUGUGAGAAAAAAAUUUGGGACGGAAGAAAUAAUAACACAAGUACAAAAAUUUAAGGUGGAAACAUAUCCAUUAAAAAAAAAAGAAGUCAUCAAAUCUUUUUUAUCCGUAAAAAACAGCAAUAAUCAAUUGGUUUUACCAUUGAAAUUGCAUUUUGCAAUAAAGCUCUCACGCUUUUCAAAGCUAAGAGUCUGGUUGUCAGUAAUCUUGUCAGAAGAAUUAGUAUAUAAUUCAACAUGACCGUUUGACAAUUAAAGCUCCCAGCAUAAUACUCUCUCCGUUCUAAAUUGUUCAUCACAUUUUGCAUUUUCAACUUUUUAAAAAUAAUAGUUUGACGGUAAUAUUAGUAGAUUUAUUUGCAAAGUUGUCCUCAAAAUUUUGAAUUUUGAAUUUAAAUUUAGUAAAUAUAUACAUAUAUAUAUAAAGUUAUGAAUAAUAUUGAAAAAAGAGUUUAAGAAUAACUUUGAUUUUAAUAAAAUAAUAAAUAUUUUAAAACAUAUCAAAAUAAAAUAUGUAACACUUUCAGUGAAACAGUAAGAAAUAAGUAUGCGAAAUUAAUGACUAGUGGGAGAAGGUCCUGCGAGGACAGAGGUGCAUGUGCAUUUAGGAUUUAUUCAGCAAUUCGAUGCAAAAUGCAGUGUCGAUGGAGCAAUUAUUCAUUUCCCCCAAGCCACGUACUCU
RNAcentral lists this long non-coding RNA (62411 nucleotides) under Coffea arabica (coffee). RNAcentral describes it as "long non-coding RNA (CARA_LNC007668)". Lineage: Eukaryota; Viridiplantae; Streptophyta; Magnoliopsida; Gentianales; Rubiaceae. The record is from RNAcentral.